AGGAGCUGAUCUCCUUUGGAAUGCCCUGUAAUGGUUGUUGUCAAGUCUUUCUGACUUCGUGCAUAAUCAUUACAAGAGGAUCAAUGCAUAUAAGUUUAGAAUCUAACAGAUUUCAGUAAAUGACAUAAAUUUGGAAUUCUUGCAUUUACAGUAAGGAUUUGGGAGUGUGAAAAGAGAAUCAUUGAAGUUAUGUUCAAUUGAUCUAGUUCACAAAGUAAAGAUCAUAGACAAACAUAGUAUGCAUACUUGGUGUGUGGCAUGACUAGUGUUUAGAAAACAUAGUGUAUAUGGUUGGAGCAUGGGACAACUAUUGUUUUUAAUUCAAGAAUAAAGUUGAUAGCUAAAACAAUAUACAAUGAAUAAUGUGUAAUCAUAUGGUGAUAAAUAAAAGGUGUUUUAUUUAUGUUCAUAAGUUUUGAUACCAUAUUGGAUUCAAUUAUUCUUAUGUUUCAUUUUGCAUGUUUUGACUUCCAGAAUAAACUAGGUUAUUCUUCCGGAAUGACUAAGUUAUUCAAACCAUCCACAGUCGGUCAUAUGUUGGAAGUAGAUAUGAAUUAAGACUGUCAUGGGUUGGCUUGUAGAGGUCUAAGGUGUUGGACAAAGGGCUACAACACUCAUGAGUGCUCAUAAGUUCUGAGUAUUGGAUUCAACCCGCGCUCAUUGGAAUAACUUCAUGGAUUUUAUCAUGAGUGAUCAUGAGAUGAUAAUAUCUUAUAUUCUUCAAACCUAGAGAUAUGAGUUGUUACUAUGAGUUGAUAGUACAUUGAUUGCACGAAAACGCAUUUGGUAACUCGGUGCUAUAAAACGUGCCUUUGUGUAUGAUUCAACAAGUAGUAGAACAAGCCAUAUGAGUCGAAGUUUAUCCAUUCCUUUUACCUUCGGGAUAAAAGCGAUAUCUGUGGGCCCCUCGAUGAUUUGAUGAUGACAAAUGGAAGUGCUCGGCCGGGCCAGGACUGAUUUGAUUUGUUCAAUUAGUCAGUCGUCAUAAAUCGGAAAUCGGGAAACAACAAAUGGACAGAGAGAAUGAUUAUAAUCCAUGUCUCAGUCCAUAUGAUAUCUAGAAUGGAGGAAUAUAUGAUCCCUUAUCUAAUGGACAAGUCAUUGACAAAGGUCAGAGUUCAUCUACAAGGUCAGAGUUCGACAGAAGCUUUUGAGAGCUACGAUUGCCAGUUGGUUCCUGAAGUCAUACGCAAUAAUAGUUUUAGACUUAUCCAAGUGGGAGACUGUUGGAUUAAUGUCUAAGUCCAUAACUAUAAUUGGUAAGACUUGACCCGACCCGGCAUGGUCCAUUUGGGUUGCAUGGCAUCAUGCACUUGGAUAGACUAUAAUGAGAGAAAUAAGACACUUAUGGUUAUUAAUAUAUUAUAAGUUCUAGUAUAUUAAUAAUAAGAAUAAUAAGAUUAUUUAAUUAGUAUUGAUCAAGAAUUAAUCUAGGAUUAAUUAAGUGAUCAAAAGAAGACUAAUUAAAUAUAUGGGUUAAUUGUGCAAAUCAUCCAUACUUAUAUAGUGGGCUAAUGCUCCAUGGAUUAUCUAGUUGGGCUAAAACCCAUAUGAUGCUCCAUGGAUGAUCCAUGGUGUUUUUGUACCCAUGGAUCAUGGAAAUGAAAGGCCAUGUCAAUUAGGGUUUACAUGGUGUAACCCUAACUAUAUAUGCAUCUUAUUCUUGACCAAAAUCGGCACUAGUAUCAUUCUAGAGAGGGCUAGCCGAUUUUCAUAAAGUGUAGAAUUCUCUCAAGUUAUUCCAAGUGUAUUUGGUGUUGUGUGAACCAUUUGAGGUGUCACACUUGGGGCACUAGGCACUCAAGCUUUAUGAAGACUUUCUACAUCAAAGAGGUAUGUAUUCUAUCUUGUUAUAUUCAUUGUUAUGUAUGCUAGACUAGGAUAAUACCUUGGAUGUUCAUAUUUGCAUGUAUAAUAGAGAAAACAUAGAUCCAAGGUAUUUAGGGUUGCAUGUACACUUAGGAGUGUUAGAAUGCUCUUAACCCAACACGAACAUCCAUAGCCCCAUUAUCUAUCCAAACCACACCCCCACAUCACCACCAACAACCUCCUCAAUCCCAACCUAGUAGCUCCAGAAUGUCACUUAAAGACAUUGUCAAGUCUCUUGCCACUAGCACCCAACAAUUCCAAAAAGAGACAAGAACUAGAAUCUCUAACCUUGAAGCACAAGUGGUAGAUAUAGUCAUAUGCUUAAGCAAGUUGUAGUCCCAUGGAAAAUUACCUUCUCAAACUGAAAAGUACCAAAAUGUUAAUAUGGUAACCUUGAGAAGUGGUAAACAAACCGGAGAUAGUAGCUCAAAGAAUAAGUCAAGGGAAGACGAGGAUGAAAUAGAUAUCACUCCCCAUUCAAUAUCCUAUUAUUAAGAACGAUGCACACAAUGGUGCUCCAAAGAAGACUAUCCCUCUAGUCACUCCAAUGGCCACUAAACCACCAUUCCCCUCCCGACUUGCGUCUUCAAAGAAGAAUAUGGAGGAGAAAGAGAUCUUGGAAACCUUUAGAAAGGUGGAGGUAAACAUUCAAUUAGUUGAUGCAAUCAAGCAAAGCCCUAGAUAUGCAAAUUUUUUGAAAGAACUUUUAACCAAUAAAAGAAAAUUGAAAGCGAAUAAAAACAUUUCAAUGAAUGAAAAUCCAUAUGCGUUUUUUACAAAGAAAAAUCCCACCUAAAUGCAAAGACCUUGGAAUGUUUACAAUUUCUUGCAAAAUUAGGGAUGUUACUUUUAGUAGUGCCAUGCCUAAUCUUGGUGCUUCUAUUAAUGUCAUGCCCUAUUCGGUAUAUGAAUCACUAAAUGUUGGUCCUUUAAAUGAAACAUGUGUCAUAAUUUCAGUUGUAGAUAAAUCAAGUGUUUUUCCUAGGGGUGUCUUAGAAGAUGUUUUGGUGCAAUUGAAUCAAUUGGUCUUCCCAACAAAUUUCUAUAUAAUUGAUUUAGAGGAACAUGUUUCCUCCAAAUCGACUCUAAUAUUUCUUGGAAGACUAUUUUGGAAAACGGCUAGGUCCAAGAUUGAUAUAUAUNNNNNNNNNNNNNNNNNNNNNNNNNNNNNNNNNNNNNUAUAUAUAUAUAUAUAUAUAUAACAAUGGAAUUUGAUUGUGAAACAAUAAGAUUUAAUAUUUAUGAUUUAUGAGGUAUCCUAGUGAUGUCUCAUCAUUAUAUUUUGUUGAUGUUGUUGAACCACUAACCCAAUAGUUUUUUGAUUUGACAAAUGGUGGAGAUAAUUAUAAUUAAAGGGUUUAAUUGUGGGAAGCUAGCCAAGAAAUUGAAACUUUAUUCUCUUGAUCCGAAGGUUGAAAAGCUGGUUAAUAAUUUGGAGACGAAGAAAUCCGCAAGGUUUGAUGUCAAUCAAGUUGAGUGUCAUACCUUGUUAAAGCGGAAAUAUGAAGAGUGAUAGGCUAAGGUCUCAUAACACAAGGUAAAUAGGAGUUCCAACAAUAAUCAUUGGGCAUUUUAAGUUUACAUCAUGUUCAAAACAAUAUUACAUUUGAGUUCCAUACUACAUAGUAUAAUACAAAUCAUAACAUCAAACAUAAAUCAUUGUGGCGUCUUAAAUUGGGUUACCGAUUGUUUCCUGAAAAGCAUGCAAAAACGAGGGUCAACUAUAAAAUAGUUGGUGAGUUGAUAGAUUUAUAAUGAAAUAUCGUUUUAGUAAAAUAGUUUUGUUCAAUGAAAAGUUCGAACUCAGAAAAAUAAUGAAUGCCAAUGUAUUCCUGUUCACAAUGAAGCAUAGCGACCGUUCUUACCGCGUCCUAUGAUGUCCAUGGUUCUCAUGAUAUGUGCUCAUGGAAAUAUGCACUCACGACUCUUAGUGAGAGGGGGCUGUCUACCCCAAAUAGUGCUAUUCAGAAGACCAUCAACUCAAAUAUGAGUUAAUAGGUUGUACUGGUUCUCCGAGGAAUUAACAUACAAAGUUCAUAACAUAGAGUUCAUGUCACCUAUUUCAUAGCAAAAGUUCAAUAAACAAAAUCGUUCCAAGUUCAAUGAGUUCAUAAAACAUGGCUCAAUAAGUUCACAAAUUAGAGUUCACCAAGUUCAUAAAAUAGUAUAGAUAGCUCAUACAACAGUAGCAUGCUUUCCAUUGAAAAACAUGAAAACAAUAAAAAAGGGGGCCGUCAUUACUCACAAGGGAGAGUUCGCGGUUCGAGCUUCACAGUUCGGUGUUGUAGAGAUUGAUUUCUACUAGUAUCCUAUGGAACAAAUAGUUUCUAGUGAGAUAUCAUUCAAUAAAUGAUUAUCUAAGAACUACCUAUCCAACUAGUGGUAUCGCAAAAUGCCCAAAGUUUGUUCGGUUUAUUAUUGGUAAUAUUGAAUUCACGACGCCUUGUGUUCAAAAAUCCACAAAAGCAUGAAAAUGAACUCUACAAAUUAUAAAAAAAAAAAUUUUGGUUCUAACAGAAGGCAUUAGUGUCCAUAAAUUUUAUAGAAAGUUUUGAAUAUCAUUUGAUAUUUAUUUGUAAAUUAAAGCCUAAAUAAUAGGAAAAAUUCAAAAUAAAUGAGAAACAGUUUCCAAAAUUCCCAAAUUAUUUUUUACAUGUUCUCAUAAUUUUUCUCAAGUUGAGAAAAAUAUUGGUUCGGGCCUUGGAGUCAAAUGACCCGACUUUGUAAGUUCAUGCUCCAAUUCAAUGAAAAAUAUGAAUAAAAUACCAAACGGUGACCAAAUCUCAUAAAAAUUUAGAUGACAUUCUUAUUUUGUAAAUAAAUCAGUUAUACAACUAUUUAUAUUUUAUCACUGUAAAUGAUUAUAAUGAAUUUAUGAAAAUUAAAUUCUUAUUUUUGUAGAAAAAUUAGGAUUUCGUUUUAAUACUUGGGGUUUCACAGAGCAUCUCUUAAAAGCGUGACCUUUCAUAAAACAAUUUUUUUCAUAAUUAUUUCGAAGCUAAAUGGGGAUAUUCAACCCCAACAAGUUUUGAAAAUUAGCACUAACUAUGCAUGAGUUCCAUAUGUAGUUGGAAGUUCGAUAAUUUGUGUAGAAACUUCUAUAAGUUUUUAGUUCAUGAAAUUUUCGAUCUUCUGAGAUAAACGUGUCAAGUUUAUAAAAUAUUUUUCUCCAUAUUUAUGGUAGGGUUUAAGGCCCUUGAUCACCAAUAUAAAACUAGUGAUCACAAAAAAAUGAUGUUGCGCAACUGUUUUGUAAAAAUUGUCAAAAAUCUAAAUCUUAAUCAUUUCCUGUGAAUCUAAUUAGGUUUAGAAGCCAACUCAAUAUAACAAAUUUUAGAAAAAUCUCAAUAUUUGGCUAAGAAUCAAGUCAGAUAUGCAUUUUCAAAGUUGGGUAAACAAUUCACAGAGAAUGUUGAAAAGUAAAACUCGUGAAAACAUAGUUCAAACUCCUAUUUCACGUAAUGAUAUCGGUUUUUUUUGCUUGUAUUGAGGUAGAAAAGCAUUAUAUUGAAGAUAUUAUGUAUAUAUACUUGUUUCUAACCAUUUGAUCUUACAUGCAACCAAGGUAGAUGAGACUAAACUUUUGAAAAAUCGAUUUUUUCAUGCUAGAUAAAACUUGCAUGUGCUCACCUUUGCUCUUGACAUUGGUUUGAUCAUGGAUCACCACCAUGUCCAGAACAGGCAACAUGAUUUUGGUGGUAAUCUACAAACAUCUAGAUGAAAAAAAGAUCUCUAGCAAGAACAUGCUUUAGAAAUUUAAAAUAAAAGAUGAAAAUGACUAGAACUUGUGUAGAAAUCGUAUGAGUGUGCUUAUGGAAUUUAGUUUCUUUACCUUGAUGAAUAUAGAUCCUUAAGAGCACCAAAAUAUUGAAUAGAAUUUGUGGCUUUUGUAACACCCGGAAUUCAGAAGGCUAAUUAAGGAAAGAAAAUAUUCAAUUAAGAGGCCAACUCGUCGAGUUCAAAGGUGAGAACUCGACGUGUUGGCAUAAAUGGGCACGUGGGAAUUUAAAGACCAUCUCGACGAGUCGAAGAGUACCAACUAGACGAGUUGCAGGGGGUUUAGGAAACCCUAGAUUCAGGAUUUUGCACCCUAUUUAAACACUUUAUGCUUUAGGGUUUGGCCUCAUUUUCAGCCUCCACUGUUCUAACCCUAGCUCUUAAGACCCUAAUGCUAUUGUGAGUGAUUGUGAUCCAUUUUGAGUAUUCUUUAAUGGGUUAUGAGCACUACAUCAAUCCUAUGGUGUUCAUGAAAACCCUAAAGCUUUGUAUCUAGUUUGUCUAAUGAACAUGCAAUAAUCAUCCAAAGUUCAUAAACCAUAGAUCUAGCAUAUAAUAAUCGAUAUUAUCAUAAUAAAAGGGUUUAGAUAUUACCUUGAUUGUUAUGUAGUAAUAACAAUAUCAAUUCCUCUUGAUCUUGACCUUUGAAUGCUUACUGCCUGAAAUAUUGCACCUCUAAUGGAGUCAUAAACACCAUGAGCAACAAGAUGAAGAAAGAGAAGUAGGAGAAAGCACGAAAACGUCCAAGAAUGCUAAGGGGUCACUUAGCCACAUUUUUGGGAGCCUUAGGGGUCUUUAUAUACUUGUGUAGGCUGCUAGGGUUUUAGGUGAAACCCUAAUUCUCUGCUUAGGCCUUAAGCAACCUAUGAACUCCCUCCUUAGAGGCCUUGGAAGAAAUCUUAUGGGCUUCCCCAUAAAUUUCAUCCACUCCAAUUUUAUGGAGUCCAUUAGCCCAUUAUUGCAAUUAUCAAUGAUUUGCAUAACAGUCCCCUUUAUUUAAUUAAUCUCUUUCAGCCACAAAAUUAACUCUUAUUAAUGCUUGACUAAUAUUAAUUAAAUAAUAUGAUUUCUCUUUUAAUAUACUAUUCAUAUAAUAUAUUAAUAAAUCAUAAUUAAUCCUCUUUCUCCUUAAUUCAUCCUAUCAGUUGCUAUGGUGAAGGCAACCCAAAAGGACCAUGCUCACAAUCAGGUCAAGUACAUACCAAAAUAGUUAUGGGCUUAGACACCUAAUCCAACAGUCUCCCACUUAGAUAAGUCUAAUAACUAUAUUGUGUAUGACUUCGUAACCUGAUUAGCGAUCAUAGCUUUCAAAAGCUGCUGUCGAACUCUAAUCAUAUCAGAAACGUGUCCUUUAGAUAAGGGAUCAUAUAUUCCUCCAUUAUAGAUAUCGUAUGAACUGAGACAUGGAUUUUAAUCAUACUCUCUGUUCAUGUGUUGUUUCCUGAUUUCCGAUUUGUGACGACUGACAACAAACUACAAUUGAACACAUCAACUUAGUCCCGACUUGGCCAAGCACUUAGGGUGUCAUCACUAAAUCAUCAAUGGGCCCACAAAUAUCGCUUUUAUCCCACUUUGGGUAAAAGGAACGGAUAAACUUUGACUCAAUGCUUUCUUGUGCCUACUCAUCAAAUCACACACAACAAUAUGUUUUAUAACACCAAGUUACUAGUGCGUUUACAUAUUAUCAAUGUGUAACCAACUUGCAGAAUACAACUCACAUGUCUCGGUUUCAAAAAUAUAAGAUAUUAUCAUCUCACCAAUCACCUGUGAUAAAAUCCAUGAAGCUAUCCAAGUGAGCGUGGGUUUAAUCCAAUGCUCAAAUCCUAUUCAUAAGCACUCAUGAACAUUGCAACAAACUUUUUCUAUGUCUAAUACACUUUAGACAAUCUACAAACCAAUUCAUGAUAAUCUUCUUUCAUACCUACUCCUAAAGUAUGAGCAACUGUGGAACGUUCGAAUAAUCUUAUUAUUUAGGAGUCAAAACAUUCAAAGUGAAACACAAGAAUAAUCGAAUCCAAUAUGGCACCAAACUUUUGAGUAUAAAUAAAACUCCUUUUAUUUAGUCACCAUAUUGAUUGAUUACACAUUAUUCAUUGUAUAAUGUUUCGGAUAAUCAACUUAUUACUUGAAUCAUAACAACAGUUGUCCCAUGCAUCAAGCAUGCAAACUCUAUUUACCUAUGGUCCAUACUUUGUGAAAUAGAUCAAUUGAAAACAUUUCCAAUGAUGCUCAUUUCACAAUCCCUAAUCCUUAUCGUUCGUGUAAGAACACAAAAUUCUCGCCACUACUAGAAUAUGUUAGAUUCUAACAUUUUAUGCAACGAUCCUUUCAUAAUGUCAUAGCACAAAAGCCACCAAGACUUUGCCAAUGAUAUUACAAAGUGCUCAAUUGGAGAUUGUUACAAGACAAUCCCAUAGAUGUGACGUCUCACAUUCAAAGUACAUUCCUUUGAACAUUCUUUUUGCAUAACAGUUUCUAAUCUAGAUAUAAAUUCUUAACAUCCAACUCCCAAUAUGGAAACAUUUCCAUAUUUGCCAUAUGAAAAAUUAUUGUGAAUAGAGUCUUACCGAUUCAUAAUAAUGUCGAUAUGGUCCAUUCUUUACUAAAAUUCCAACUGCUCACAAGCAACCAAUCCUUAGAGAACCUUAGAUUGUCAUUGACAGUUGUUCAAUUAUUUUAGUCAAACCGGUUCUAAUCCCUUUCCCUCUUAAUACCCUAGGCAAUUGGAAAAUUUUAAAACUGGUCGAAUAUUACAGCAUAUGCAAUCUAUCCUAUACCCGAAGCGUAUGGGACACGAUUCAUAAUAAACAAUGUGAUACUUUAGUAGUUUCUUGCUAUAAUACUCUUAUAUAUAGAAUGCCCCUAUGUUAAAACUUUUCAACAUAACAUUCAUAUAUGUCUUUUGAUUAAAUGUAAUUAAAAUUUGUCGAUCUAAGCCUUUAGAUUUGAAAUGAAGUAUAAUAUUCUCUCCGUUAAUUAUAGCAAAACAACUAUUCAACCUUUUCAACUUUGCAAAUUGAAACUUUGUUUUCUAUAACUAAUAUUGCUAACUUGCAACACUUAAAAUAAUAAUCAUGCUCCCACUAACAUGAUAAUUAUCUCCAUGCUAGCAUAACACUUAUACUCCCACUAGCUUUGACACGUAUUCAGAAAACAGUUGGACUUCUAGAAAUCAAUACUUAUUGACUUCCAAAGUUCAUAUUUCUAAUACAACUUGCUUCGAUAAUCCUUUAUCUAAGCCUCUCAACCUCAUACACCUUUCCUUAGAAAGUUUAUAUGUGAGUCUAAACAAUUUCAGCACUUAUAGCAAUAAUUCUUAAAUGUUUAAACUAAUUGCCAAAUCUCACAAUUCACACUAUGAAGAGGGAUGCCGUAAUCAUAAUUGAAUUUGAGAAUGCAAUUUACACAAUCAUUAUCUCCUUCAAAUCUCUCUUAGUGAAAGCGUUUCCUCACAAUCAUUUUCAUGAAGGAGAGAAACCUUAUGACACUUAGAUUUUACGGUGUAUGUGUUCCUAUCCAUGUGAUUUUGUUAUAACCAUAAUUAUAAGAUAAUGUUUGUGACAAAUACAAACUCUUAUGGACAAAACUUGUUCAUUCUUAAUUUCUUUCAAUCAAGGGUCCCACUAUUGCUUCCAAGUUAUUGAGCAGCUUACCCCUACCUAUCAAUGUACUUUCCAUUGAUCAAGGUGUCUUGCCUCUAUGCAAUUAAUUGAUAACUAAUGGAACUCACAUGCAUAGUUGACCAAACUGGAAUGGCACAGAAACAAGAAUAUGUCAACACGAUAGGUUACACACCUCAAGUCGUGUGCUAGUGUUUAAUAAUAUAUUUAGUCUUGAUUAGUUCUUGAAACUUUUCAAGAGACUCCCACUGACCUCUUGACAUAUAAGACUCUCUUGUCAAGAAACAUUUCUUGACAAACAAAUAUUCAAGAAUUAGUGUGGAUUCUUAUCAAGACAAACACUACACACAAUUGGUAUUAGUUGGUCUUUGUCUUAUCCAAGACAUCACAACUUACCAAUUUUAAAAGUGUGUAAGAGUAAGAAAAACAAUUUUUUGCUUCACAUUUGAUGAGUGUGUUAGAACUUCUUAAGAUGUGUCACUCAAGUCACAAUCUUUGAGUAUGACUCUAAGACUUGAUUUUGGAACGAAGUAUGAUUCACCUAUUGAUUUAACCAUUUAAAAACUUUCUGAUUCUUCUUCUUAGCCAUACCAGCGCACUAAGGUUUACCUAGAGGAUCAGUUGUGAUAUGGUUUUAUAAUAAAUAAGACGAUCAUAAAACAUGAUACAAAAGUACUCUCCCUUAUUUCCAGAUUGGAGAAACUUUUAUCUUUCUGCCUAAUUGAUUCUUCUUAUUCGUUAUGCUAUUAUUGAAACUUUUCAAUAAUUCAGAAUUAUACUUAAUCUUGUAAGCAUAACCAUAUUUACUAUACUUUUAGUAAAUCAUGACAAAUAGUCUUAUUUUUAUUUGUGGUGGACUUGACCAGUGCAUAACAUUGUGUUCUAGUCCUUUAGUCCUUCUCUUGAUUCACAUACUUGUGUGAUCAAGGAAUUAGUCUUAAUUUCCCAAGUACCAAGAUUUCCAUACAUCACAUGAUUCAAAUCAUAUGAUUCCAAGCUUCUGUCCAAUUGAUACUUGGGCGAUGACAAUCUUUCCUUACAUAGAAAAAUUACGCCACUACCAUAAAUAACAUAACUAAGAAUCACAUCCACUUAAUAUUGCUUACAAUAGAAAUACACAAGCAUCAAUUUUCAUAACAUUUCAAGGAUAUAUAAAUAAGACAAAACUCAAAAUUUAUUUAAUUUAUAAUAAGGUGCGGAGAAUUUAUCCUUACAAUGCAAAAUCAAAUGAAAACUAUGCUAUUUCAUAUUCCUAAACAAUCUAUCAUAACUCUAAAAGUAGCAGCUCCAAAAAUCCGAUCAUCGAAUCAUACGAUCAACAUUCAUUUCUUUGCGAUCAGACUCAGCUCACUUCUCCCUUUAAGCUUCCUUUCUUUUCUUGAUCCUACAAAAAAAUGAAAUCUUAUUAUAUCAUGUAUUAAGAAUCUAAAAUAGAAAACUUAAUAGAGUUAGAUAGUGGAUUUUACCUGAAGCAGAGUCAUACAUCUUGACUCUCCUAUCUCUUAGAUCUCUCAGGUAUUUAGGGCAGCUUCGUAACCAAUGCCCCCUCUUUUGACAGUAUAAACAUAUGGAUUCUUAUGGAAUGGUACAAAGGACUAUCUCAGACUCAACCUUUCUCUUGUAUAGUGAAAACUUUUCUGGACUUCCAAUGUUGCCAUUUCCCAUAGAAGGUUGGGACAUUGAUUUACCAGACAAAUUUGCUUGACCGGUGUGCCAAAUCAUCACUGAUUCAACAUGAAUAAGCAAAUAAGUCAAAUCAAUGAGCAUUACGUUGUGGUCCAUCACAUAGUACUCUCUAAUGAACUCACUAUAUGACUCGGGAAGUGACUGAAGAACCAAGUCAACAGCCAACUUCCUUGAGACAUCGACACCCAACAUUCCCAAUCUAUUAAUAUGCAACUUCAUAUCCAAUACAUGAGCACAUACAGACUUUCCAUCUUUGUGUCUUUUUGACAAUAGGGCUAGAGUGACCUUGAACUUUUCAAUUCAUCGAACACGUGGGUUAACGAGAAUUAUUGGAGGAGGUGGAGGAAGUGAAGUAUGAUUUUCAUUUCCACAAUCCAAUCAUGGAACACCAUCUUCACGUGGAAAGAUUUUUCAAACGGAUUUAGGAAGACCAUAGUUGAUAGAUUUUGGCAUCUACAAAAUGGGAGAAAAUUCAAGUUAGUUGAAACGAAUCCUUGAUAAAACACCCAAAUGAAAUAUCAAGGCUAUGACCCAACAUAAUAUUCUACAAUUUGGAAAAGGGAUGUCGUAAUCCAAAUUGUAGAAUAUUUGAAGGUAGGUAUAUGACGAUUUACCAAUUUCCACCAUGAAAAACGAAAAUUGAAAAUUAAGUUUUAAAUGAAUUGAAACUCCUAGAUCUUUUGAGAUUCAUUGAACUUUUCAAUGGCAUGUUUAAAUCUCGAGUGUGUGUUUGAUUUGUGACUGGGAUGCUGAGGAUCACAAACAAGUUGUGGAUAACCCUGCAAAUAUACAUGGUGCCCCCAAUGUUACAGUCACUUAAUCGAUGUGCUGGUUAACCACACAUGCUCCAUCGAUCUAUGAAAAACAUCGAGUCACCUUUGCCACCUUUACUUAGAGCCCAAUUAGUGUGUCAGUUAACCACACACGCUCCACUAACGUCUUAGUAAGGGUACAAAGUGUAAUUUCAUGGAAUAACACCAACUCUACAUUUAUCCUAAAGUGACUAAAAUUUGGGAAUUUAUAAAACAUUUAGUUACUUCAUAUUUCAUUAUACUUGUAAUGGAAGGUUGUGUCGUAUCCUACCUGUUCGGAUAAUGACCCUCCACUAGUCAAGAGUGCGGUGGGUAAGAAUGGAUACCCAAUGACGGUCAUUUUAUAGGCCGCUUCCUUAAACACACCUUAUAGACCAACUUCGUGAAUGAGAUCUGCUAAUGGUAAGACUGACAUUUUACUUAUACAUAUAUAAUAUUAUACUUUUAAUUUUAUAUUUAGUAUAAGGGUGUAUUUUACAUUUUUAAAAUACUAGGUGGUUUAAUUUAAUAAAUUAUACUUUUUAAUUUAAUUAAAUAUAAACUUUAUCAUUAUAGAUUUAUGAACUCUCUUUUAGUUAUACACUUAAUUAAUUUGGUAAAACCAUGAGGGUGUAAUUUGAAAUUUUCAAAAAACUAGGGUUUUAGAAUUUAACAGUUAGAAAUUCGAACUUUUAAUCAAAAAAUUUAAAUUCCAAAACUUGAGGGCAAGUUUUGAAACUUUUCAAAACCAUAUAGAUCAAAUUUCAAAUACAUUUAAUUAAUCAAAUAAUUAGUGAUUAUCAAAAUUUGACCUAAUUCAAUUACUUGCAAGAUAAUUCAUCAAAUAAUUCAAAUAAAUCAAGUUUAUCACAUAAGGCAAUGAAUAUCUAAUUAAUUUGACAAUUAUCUUCUAUUUUGGUAAGGAUAAUCACUCCAAAUCAAUAAAAAUUGGAUUUAUUAGUUAAAACGUUUUUGGUAAUUAUCCCACAGCAAAAUAAGGCAAGAUCCCAAAAAUUCCUCCUUCUGACCAUCUGACUCGUCUAGUAAGGGAUGGACUCAUCGAGUUCCUAGUGGACUCGGCGAGUCCAGGCUCCAGAAGGCAGAAUUUUCGACUUUCAGCAAUGAAUGAUCAUGUAAAACGUUAAAUACAUCAAACAAACAGCCCUGGCUCUCAUACCACUGAUGGGUUAUGAGCACUACAUCAAUCCUAUGGUGUAUAUGCAAACCCUAAAGCUUUGAAUCUAGUUUGUCUAAUGAAUAUCCAACAAUCAUCCAAAGCUCAUAAACCCUAGAUCUAGCAUAUGAGAAUUGAUAUUAUCAUAAUAAAUGGGUUUAGAUAUUACUUUGAUUGUUAUGUAGUAAUAGCAAUCUCAAUUCCUCUUGAUAUUGACCUUUGAAAGCUUAGUGCCUCAAAUUUCUUCACCAAAGUCUCCAAAUUUCUUCAGCAAGCUUGGCUGCUCUCCAAUCACUUUUCUUUUGAGAAGUGGCAGGAGAGUCGUUUGUGCUGGGAGAAGACAUAUACCCCACCAGAUUCUUGAAGUGCAGGGGAGUCUUUUGUUUUUCAGGAGUUAUGUCAAUUUAAGGAUGAGAGUUGUGAGGAGGGGUGUGAUGAGAUGGUUGUGGAGUGGGAAUUUUUCCAGUAGAGGCUGGGGGAGUUUGAUGGUGUGAGAGAGAUUAGUUGGAAUGAUGGACUUGAUGGACUUCUUCACUUCCCCCUCUUGAGGAGUUUAGACCUGGAGCCUCCUCAAGCCAUUGACGAAGGCCAUCAACCUUGUCAAAAAUAGUUUGAAAUUGUGCUUUGAGGGCGUCUGCCAACUGUUGAUUGUUAGGAGUGGAAGGAUUGAAGAGAAAUUGAUGAAUCUACUUGGUGAGUUGGAGAAUUUCCAGCCCAUUUAUGCAACUAUUAAUGAUUUGUAUAACAGUCCCCUUUAUUUAAUUAAUCUCUUUUAGCCACAAAAUCAAUUCUUAUUAGUUCUUGACUAAUAUUAACUAAAUAAUAUGAUUUCUUUUUUAAUAUAUUAUUCAUAUAAUAUAUUAAUAAAUCAUAAUUAAUCCUCUUUGUAACAACCAUAAAAAUUCAACAAAUUUUAACUUUUCAAAAACAACCCAUUUUCUCAAUGUUAUUACAAAAAGGUUUUCAAUACAAUUAUUAUAAGAGUCUUCCCAGAAUCACAUCAUAAAACGUAAUCAUGAGGAGCGGUACGAUCACACCUUUGCCUUGCCAUGGUCUCCUGAAGAACCUGAAAAACAUUAAACCACAACCGUAAGCCCGAAAGCUUAGUGAGAUACCCCCAAAAUACCAACCACAUAUACCAUACACGCAUAACAUGCCAUAUCAUAUCCGAUCACAGAACAGCCAUGCACUUCGGGUCUACUGUGUGACUGGUCCGCCGCACCGGCCAACAGUCCACCUGGUCCACCCUCCGAGUCUAGCCAUAUACAUCGAGUCUGCAGUGUGAUUGGUCCGCCCGCACCGGGCCUUCAAUCCACCUGGUCCACUCUCUGAGUCUACAGUAUGACUGGUCCGCCCGCACCGGGCCUUCAGUCGGCCUGGUCCACUCUCCGAGCCUCGGCACGUCUGGUCCGCCCUCUUGGGGCCUACAGCCUAUCCGGACCGCUCGCUGGGCCUUCGGGACAACCGGUCCGCCCUGGGUAUCUUGGCCUACAGCACAAAGCAGGACCCGCCUCAACCCAACCCCAGUCCAACAACCAUGUGCACAUAAACAUACAAUCAUAUAACAAUUCACAGUCAACAAGCCGAUCUAGCAGAUCACAUAACAUAUCAUCAUCCUAACCAGGAUACCGACCUAACCGGUCACUAGCAUAGCAUCACCCUACAUAACAGGAUACCGACCUUAACCAGGUCUCUAACAUAUACCAUCCUAGCUACCAGGAUGCAAACAUAUCAAGGCAAUAACAUAACAACAAAUACCCGGAUCUCAAUCCGAUAAAGGGUCGGCCUUGGUGCCUUAGACCCUGUUGAUAUAGUGAGGAUAACUCACCUUGCCACUGCCGAAACUCUGAACUGAAGAAGCAGAUUCUCGAAUCACCGACUCACCGAAAAUCCCGAACUAGCCAACAUAGCACAAAUAAUCAUUAGGCUAAGCACAAUACCCUUCCAAGGAUAAAUUGACCAAUUUACCCUUAACUCAUUCCGGCCCAACACUGGAUAAGCUCUCAAGCCCACUAAUGGCCCAAAGUCCAAAGGUCCGAAGCAAAGCCCACUAUUGGCCCAAUUUACUAAAUUGGCCCCACCACACCAAAUGGGCCUAGACCCAUGGUCCAUAACAACUAAUGGGUCCACCAUACUCCAUCCAAUAUGUCCAGUCACGGCCCAUAAUCCAGCAGCCCAAUAACAGCUCAAUCCCUAAGGCCCAAAACGGAAAACCCAACAGAGGGAGUACGCUGGGCGUACACACUAAUUUGCAAUUGGGGAUCGAGGCACUGACCCGCUACGCGGGGCGUAACUUCGUUGCUCAUUAAGUCCUCAUAACUUCUUAAUGGCUUAAGCUCUUAAGCCCAAACUUUAGAUCCUUAGGCCAAAUAUGCCUAAGAUUCAUAAAGUCUCAAACUUUAUCACUUGGGACGUCCAUAAAGCUCUUAAUCCAAGAUCUUAAUCCAUUAAGACCUACUUAUCUCACACAUGGAACAACCACAGCCCUUGGGACCUCAUUUUUCGCACUCAAGACCUCUCCAAAGGUUUGAAAGGACAGAUAAACUCGACCAACUCAAAACAUGCAUCAAGAUGAGGACUUUUGGGACAAGAAUGAUGUCAAAACUUCACAACAGUUAGAUCUAUACAAUAUAAAUGACAAGCAAGAAGCUUUAUACCUCAGAUAGGCUCCAAAGGAUGAUAUCUUUCCAGAUUUAUAAGCUCCAACCACUCAACUCCUUCUUUGACAACUUCCUCUUUCUUCUUCUAGCCUCUCCUUUGCCAAAAUGAUCUUUCCAAGGCCAACACACUCAACAAUGGAGGUGGAACGGCUAUCUAGGGUUUCUGGGGUUAAGAGAGAGUUUAUGGAGGCUAGGGUAAGAACCAACAUGUUCCUUAUAUAGUGGAUGACCUUAAUUUUAGGGUUUUAGAACUCUGAGAGUACGCUGGGCGUACCUCUAGUACGCUGGGCGUACUCAACCUUGCACCCGCGUCCAAUUACGCUCUUAUGCUGGGUGUAAUCCCAGCUUACGCUGGGCGUACUCGGCGUGCCCCAACUUUCAUAUUUGGCCCUCUCUUCCACUUUUCCUACAAAAGGACCAAAAUACCCUUCCUCUAAAAUCCUGGGGACUCACAAAUAAGUACUUUUAGGAACGGGGGGUUACAAUUCUCCCCCACUUAAAUUAGGCUUCGCCCUCGAAGCCUGCGACAACUCGACUCCAGAACUUCUCCCGCAACACACCACCUGGCAUUAACCAAACCCGGUUCCUUAAGACACAACCAUUGAAAUCUGAAACUCAACCUUUCCCUUUUCUUGCGGUGUUCUGGCCACCGCCUCAAGCCGGCCACCGGCUUCACCCUUUGAUAACCACACUUAUCAGAUUCUACACUUACCAACCGAGUACCACUCCAUGGCACUUUUCUCGAUCCUGAUCACAACAAUCUCUUGACUCUUACGAGCUAGAUAUAACCCUGAACCAUCGGGUUCCCGAUCCAAGUCCAACUCUAUCCAUUCCAUGCUGACAGAAUGACACAUUCUUCACCUCAGAGCAACUCCCACGAGUUCUCCUCUUGCAAUCGCAUGCACAUGUUGCACUAGCUCUAGCACCAUCGGGUUGGGAAGACCCGUCACACUGACGACACCUCCAAACAUCCCCCAGGAUGAAUCACCACUACAUACACAAUUCCUUGAUCAGAAUCAAACUGGGAAUCCAAGACUCCAUCCCUGCACCCCUUCCGAGCCUCUUGGCUCUACACCCGCGGAAUCCCUUCCGCGACCUCAGCAGUCAUCCAAUCCGGAUCUGAUUCCAUACCACUGCCGCAAUCACGCUGCUCAAAGACCAUAAUUGGAUCAAUCUAAUCAUAACUCUGCGCUGCCGCUUUCACUUCCGUGAAUUUACACUCCCCCUUGGAGCUACAUUCCUCUCUAUUUUCUUACCAAGGAAAUACACUUGGCCGCCUUGUCACUGCGACGAGUGCCACGGUGCUCGCCCAACGCUACACCACUCCCUUAUAGCAUAACCGCUAUCCAUGCAACACACAUGCUCUGAAUCUGCUUGCAAGGACUCUCGAGUCCAUGCACCAUCUUCACUAAUCAAGAUCAAUACCCGGGGCCAGACCUUCUAAUGCUAACACAUCGCGACAUACUCAACCCAUUUCCUCAAUCUGGUCUAACAAUACCUGUAGAGUCUUCAGCAUGACUGAACCGCCUUACCAGGCCUUCAGCCAAUCUGGACCACUCUCAGAACCUUCAGCCAAUCUGGGCCGCCCUCCAGGGCCUUCAGUCUGGCUGGACUGUCCUCCGAGCCUUCGACCUGAGUGGUACUCCUAUCGGCCUUCAGUCUAUCCGGACCGCUCAACUAGCAUUCAUCAUUCCGAGUUAUCACUCCGGGAAAUCCUCCCAUGCAUACUGUUCUAGCCCUCUAGGGGUUCCGAACUCUAUCUCCAUCAUACAUACUCAAUCCCGGCCUGAUCCCAGGCCCUCCACAAUCAAAUACCCUUGGUCUGUAUCCCGCCCCGCAUGCCUGCCACUUACUCAUACCAGCCUACGCUCUUGGCUGACAGAAACACUGCUGAAUCCCAAACAGCUAAACAACCUCACAUGCUCAUCAAUCUUCCGGAGAAUUUUCCAAUUCUCCCCCACUUAUAGCACUGACUAUCAAUCACCGAUCAUCAUCAUCGACCUCCCUCAACCACCUUACACCACACAAACACUUAUACACGAACUGAUCCCUACUAGCACGAGCAACCUUCACAAAAUCACAUAAUAACACUGAUCAUCCCGAGCUCGAAAGAAACUCAAUCUGCAGCUAACCACUCCUCAGAAUGCAGAUGCUACCCAAAAUUCAAACCAGACGCCAGAUUUCCACUAAUAACCCCAUGAAGGAUAACCAACAAUAUUACCAAUUCUAAACCCAUAACCAUACCAACCCUCAAAGAACAACGAAUACCAUACCGAAAACCACACAACGAGACUAACAGAUAAACAAUAGUCCACAAUAAUCACAAGAUAACAAGAUAUCAAGAAAGAAACAUACCCGCAGCUGCAUCCGGCACUGCUCUGACCUCCUCUGCUGAAAGCUGAAAAGCAUGGCCCUGAGCCCUUGGGGGCUCCGCUCCACCCUGACCUCCGCCCGUGAUCGUCAAAGUGGCCGGUGCUGGAGCCUGCACCGGUCUUGCAGCAAGCUGUGGACAGUUGACCCUUAAGUGCCCAACUUGAUGACAGUGAUAACAAAUCCUCAAAUCCCGAACCGGCACCGACUGUCGACAAUCCCUCGCCUAGUGCCCCUCAUUUCCGCACUUGCGGCAAGCACCACCGGACCUACAAACUCCGGUGUGACCCUUCCCACACUUUCCACAAGUGUGGCUGCUCUGAUCUCCUACCCUAGAAUCAACGGUCUUGGACCGUUUCGACGCCGGCUGUGACUGCACCGGAGCCUGCCUCGGCUCUCGCAACUGCAACUCAAUCUCCAACUCACGCCGCCUGGCGGCCUCCUGCAACUCCAACAAAGUCUCGCACCUCUGCGUAGACACAAACUGUUGAUAUCCUUCUUGAGCAUACUCAGAUAUCGGGACUUCUGAGCUUGCUCCGAAGCGAACUCAGGGAAAAACAUCGCCCCCACAGUGAACAUCCUGGUGAUCUCCGUUACCGACUCCAAAUCCUGCUUCAGCUCAAGAAACUCCUGAGCCAAUCUCUCCUUCUCAACCCGCAUAACAUAAUGAGUGCUGAACAUUUCUCUAAACUGAUCCCAUGAAACCGCAACCCUCUGGGCAUCCGAAUAUGACCCCGUGGUCAAUCUCCACCAAUCCUUCGGCCCGAGGCUCAACAGGUUCAGAGCACACCUUACCCUCUGAUCAGCAGGGCAUGAACACGUGAAGAAAUACCCCUCCACAUCCGACAACCAUUUCAUAGCAACAAUCGGGUCCUGAACUCCAUCAAAGGUAGGAGGCUUCGUAUUAUCGAAGUCCCGAUACUAAAAACCUCGACCGGCUCCUCNGCCGCUGUAGCCGCCGCCGCAACCGUCUCAGUGAGAGCCGCAUAGCGCUCAUCAAAAUACUCAACCAUGCCGGUCUUGAUCGACCCAAAUAGUUCCGGCAGCUCGGCCCGGAACAACGCAACAACCUCAUGAUGCAGGAUCUCACGAAUCCUAGCAUACAACUCGCCUAUGCUCAUCUAACCAGUAACCUCGGGUGGUACCGACCCACCCUGACCGUCCUCUCCAGCUCCUGAUCCUGACCCGGAUCCGCUCCCAGCAUGCCUCGUGACCACCAUACUGAAAAACAUCACAAAAUCUCAGACACUUCCCACUAUCCCGAGAAUCAACUCUUAACCCAAUCCUAGAGGUCAUGGUUUCUCUGAUACGCGUAUGGGUCCUGUGCUUUCAGUAGUACGGGCCCAUACUACCUUCCACACCUACCCAUAUUUGUAUGAAGUACUACCACAAUACCCUAGAGAANNNNNNNNNNNNNNNNNNNNNNNNNNNNNNNNNNNNNNNNNNNNNNNNNNNNNNNNNNNNNNNNNNNNNNNNNNNNNNNNNNNNNNNNNNNNNNNNNNNNNNNNNNNNNNNNNNNNNNNNNNNNNNNNNNNNNNNNNNNNNNNNNNNNNNNNAGCUCAAAAACAAAUAUCAUGUAUGGUAUUUUGGGGUUACUUACUGGCUCCGGCUGAUCGUACCUCCGCGUCCUCCUUUUACUCAUUUUGAAAACCAUUUUAAAUUCUCUUUUAAAAACUCUCCCUGAUUUGAGACUGGAUUCACACGAAUGUUCCUCCAAUUCACUCAAACCAAGGCUCUGAUACCAACUUGUAACAACCAUAAAAAUUCAACAAAUUUUAACUUUUCAAAAACAGCCCAUUUUCUCAAUGUUAUUACAAAAAGGUUUUCAGUACAAUUAUUAUCAGAGUCUUCCUAGAAUCACAUCAUCAAACGUAAUCAUGAGGAGCGGUACGAUCACACCUUUGCCAUGCCACGGUCUCCUAAAGAACCUGAAAAAACAUUAAACCACAACUGUAAGCCCGAAAGCUUAGUGAGAUACUCCCAAAAUACCAACCACAUAUACCAUACACGCAUAACAUGCCAUAUCAUAUCAAUACACAGAACAGCCAUGCACUUCGGGUCUACUGUGUGACUGGUCCGCCGCAUUGGCAAACAGUCCACCUGGUCCACCCUCCGAGUCUAGCCAUAUAUAUCGAGUCUGCAUUGUGAUUGGUCCACCCGCAUCGUGCCUUCAAUCCACCUGGUCCACUCUUUGAGUCUACAGUAUGACUGGUCUGCCCGCACCGGGCCUUCAGUCGGCCUGGUCCAUUCUCCGAGCCUCGGCACGUCUGGUCCGCCCUCUUGGGGCCUACAGCCUAUCCGGACCGCUCGCUGGGCCUUCNCCGCCCUGGGUAUCUUGGCCUACAGCACAAAGCAGGACCCGCCUCACCCCAACCCCAGUCCAACAACCAUAUGCACAUAAACGUACAAUCAUAUAUCAAUUCACAAUCAACAAGCCGAUCUAACAGAUCACAUAACAUAUCAUCAUCAUAACCAGGAUACCGACCUUAACCAGGUCUCUAACAUAUACCAUCCUAGCUACCAGGAUGCAAACAUAUCAAGGCAAUAACAUAACAACAAAUACCCGGAUCUCAAUCCGUUAAAGGGCCGACCUUGGUGCCUUAGACCCUGUUGAUAUAGUGAGGAUAACUCACCUCGCCAUUGCCGAAACUCUAAACUGAAGAAGCAGAUUCUCGAAUCACCAACUCACCGAAAAUCCCGAACUAGCCAACAUAGCACAAAUAAUCAUUAGGCUAAGCACAAUACUCUUCCAAGGGUAAAUUGACCAUUUUACCCUUAACUCAAUCCGGCCCAACACUAGGUAAGCUCCCAAGCCCACCAAUGGCCCAAAGUCCAAAGGUCCGAAGCAAAGCCCACUAUUGGCCCAAUUUACUAAAUUGGGCCCACCACACCAAAUGGGCCUAGACCCAUGGUCCAUAACAACUAAUGGGUCCACCAUACUCCAUCCAGUAUGUCCAGUCAUGGCCCAUAAUCCAGCAGCCCAAUAACAACCCAAUCCCUAAGGCCCAAAACGGAAAACCCAACAGAGGGAGUACGCUGGGCGUACCCUCCUUGGUACGCUGAGCGUACACACUAAUUCGCGAUUGGGGAUCGAGGCACUGACCCGCUACGCGGGGCGUAACUUCGCUGCUCAUUAAGUCCUCAUAACUUCUUAAUGGCUUAAGCUCUUAAGCCCAAACUUCAGAUCCUUAGGCCAAAUAUGCCUAAGAUUCAUAAAGUCUCAAACUUUAUCACUUGGGACGUCCAUAAAGCUCUUAAUCCAAGGUCUUAAUCCAUUAAGACCUACUUAUCUCACACAUGGAGCAACCACAACCCUUGGGACCUCAUUUUUCUCACUCAAGACCUCUCCAAAGGUCUGAAAGGACAGAUAAACUCGACCAACUCAAAACAUGCAUCAGGAUGAGGACUUUUGGGACAAGAAUGAUGUCAAAACUUCACCACAAUUAGAUCUAUACAAUAUAAAUGACAAGCAAGAAGCUUUAUACCUCAGACAGGCUCCAAAGGAUCAUAUCUUUCCAGAUCUAUAAGCUCCAGCCACUCAACUCCUUCUUUGACAACUUCCUCUUUCUUCUUCUACCCUCUCCUUUGCCAAAAUGAGCUUUCCAAGGCCAAAACACUCAACAAUGGUGGUGGAACGGCUAUAUAGGGUUUCUGGGGUUAAGAGAGAGCUUAUGGAGGCUAGGGUAAGAACCAACAUGUUCCUUAUAUAGUGGAUGACCCUAAUUUUAGGGUUUUAGAACUCUGAGAGUACGCUGGGCGUACCUCUAGUACGCUGGUCGUACUCAACCUUGCAUCCGCGUCCAAUUAUGCUCUUACGCUGGGCAUAAUCCCAGCUUACACUGGGCGUACUCGGCGUGCCCCAACUUUCAUAUUUGGCCCUCUCUUCCACUUUUCCCACGAAAGGACCAAAAUACGCUUCCUCUAAAAUCCCGGGGACUCACAAAUAAGUACUUUUAGGAACGGGGCGUUACACUCUUUCUCCUUAGUUCGUCCUAUCAGUUGCUAUGGUGAAGGCAACCCAAAAGGACCAUGCUCACAAUCGGGUCAAGUACAUACCAAAAUAGUUAUGGGCUUAGACACCUAUUCCAACAUUCUUGUGGGUGUUUGAAGCUCUUGGAAGGAAGAAAAGUUUGAAGGAACAAUGAAGAGUUGCUAGAUCCAGAAACCACUGUUGAGAGAAAAACUUUGAGAAACACUUGAACAAAUUGUUAGAACAAGUAUAUAGCGGAAUUGUUAAUCUCGAAGGAUCUGUUAGCUCAACAAUAAUAUUAAGUGUUAGAAGUUAGUGAGUUAGAUGCGGAAAAUUAAAUAAAUGUAAAUGACAACAAUUGUUAUAUCAAGUAUACACAAAAGCAGAUUCAUAACGAGGAAUGCAUUCAAACCAAGUUAGUAAAUGAGAUCUAGCUUAGUGAUUAAGUCACAAGUGACUUGCUCUUUAAAAGAGAUAGUAAUCGAUUUUGAGAAUAGGAAGGUUUGAUAACUAAGAUAGAAUGAAAACUGAUGUGUAUUAGAAUUUGAGAAGAGAUUCACAUCGGUACAAUUACACGAGGAAAGAACUCUAUUUAUAGAGACAUUUUAACAACUCUAAAAGUAGCCAUGCAAGGCAUACUGGACAUUAGAGUGUUUUACAGAAAAAGACAAAUAAACUAAGUAAUGAUAAGGACAGCGAUGCAGACGACUUCGGAUGGCCAGAUUGCUUGACUGCGGUUGCUUAGAGGCUGCGGUAGCUGAAGUUCAAGAGGGUCACUUUUUUGAUUCAACAAUUUCCCCUAAGUGACCUCUUUAACUUUGAUCAGUUCUCAAGUUUAAGGAACUUAAUCAGGAUCCACCAAAACUUCCUGACGUUCUCUAACCAGUUGAUUCUUCUUAGUAUUUCAAACUUGACUUCUGCGGUUGUAUGUUUGGAUUUUUCAACUAAGUUGCGGCAGAUCUCAAGUUGUUUCUUGGUUAGACGGUGCAUAACAGUCAUAGGAAUAAAAUAUUUGACGUUGUCAGUCUUCCUCUUGAAAAUAACUCCUAAUUUAGGGUAGUUGGUUGCUUCUAAUGAUCUUUCUUCAUAGCCUUCGGUAGGCAUGGGUGCGGGGUCAAGUGGUGGCAAGUCAGCAAUCUUGGAAAUGAUGGGAUGAAUGUCUGCAUCUAUUUUGGCGAAGUUACAGACUGUUUCCUUAAGAAAUGUAUUGGCCCUUUCAAGUGCGAUCUUCAUCUUCGAAUGCUUCUCAAACGUGUGCUGAAAGACCUUGGCAAUGAGAAACACUUCUUCUGGGUUCAUACACGGGAAAUCAGCCUUGGUGCGGAUGUAGUCGUGCUCCCUCCUGGGCAGGGUGUACUGGAUAAACUCAGCCUUCAUGAACUUCCAGAUCUUGUAAUUUUUGACGGCUGAUGGUCUAUCGUUAGACCAUAUGUGUUCAACCGGAGAGGCAUGCUUAACAUAGAAUUGGCUAAGUCUCUCGAACUCCAUCGGAAGUCUUUUCUCGUUGGGAAGGCUGCGGUCGAACUACUCAAAUACAGUGAAGUAUCUAGCAUUCGGUGAGAUUGGGAUAUCCCAGUAACCAUCUGAGGGGGGUUCCGCAUAGGUAAGAUGCGGGACAUAGUCAUCAUCAAGAAGCCUUCUGUGAGGAUUGACCCAAGAGUUUAUUAGGGACUCAUCCAUAACCGAGUCGAAUCCGCUAUGUCUCCAAAUCUCUUCAGCAAGCUUGGCUGCUCUCCAAUCACUUUUCUUUUGAGAAGUGGCAGGAGAGUCGUUUGUGCUGGGAGAAGACAUAUACUCCACCAGAUUCUUGAAGUGCGGUGGAGUCUUUGGUUUUUCAAGAGUUAUGUCAAUUUGAGGAGGAGAGUUGUGAGGAGGGGUGUGAUGAGAUGGUUGCGAAGUGGGAAUUUUUUCAGUAGAGGCUGGGGGAGUUUGAUGGUGUGAGAGAGAUUAGUUGGAAUGAUGAACUUGAUGGACUUCUUCACUUCCCCCUCUUGAGGAGUUUAGACCCGGAGCCUCCUCAAGCCAUUGACGAAGGCCAUCAACCUUGUCAAAAAUAGUUUGAAAUUGUGCUUUAACGACAUCUACCAACUGUUGAUUGUUGGGAGUGGAAGGAUUGUAGAGUAGUUAAUGAAUCUCAUUGGUGAGUUGGAGAAUUUUCGGCCCAUUUAUGCAACUAUCAAUGAUUUGCAUAACAGUCUCCUUUAUUUAAUUAAUCUCUUUUAGCCACAAAAUCAAUUCUUAUUAGUUCUUGACUAAUAUUAAUUAAAUAAUAUGAUUUCUUUUUUUAAUAUAUUAUUCAUAUAAUAUAUUAAUAAAUCAUAAUUAAUCCUCUUUCUCCUUAAUUCAUCCUAUCAGUUGGUAUGGUGAAGGCAACCCAAAAAGACCAUGCUCACAAUCGGGUCAAGUACAUACCAAAAUAGUUAUGGGCUUAGACACCUAUUCCAACAUUCUUGUGGGUGUUUGAAGCUCUUGGAAGGAAGAAAAGUUUGAAGGAACAAUGAAGAGUUGCUAGAUCUAGAAACCACUGUUGAGAGAAAAACUUUGAGAAACACUUGAACAAAUUGUUAGAACAAGUAUAUAGCGGAAUAGUUUAUCUCGAAGGAUCUGUUAGCUCAACAAUAAUAUUAAGUGUUAGAACUUAGUGAGUUAGAUGCGGAAAAGUAAAGAAAUGUAAAUGACAACAAUUGUUAUAUCAAGUAUACACAAAAGCAGAUUCAUAACGAGGAAUGCAUUCAAACCAAGUUAAUAAAUGAGAUCUAGCUUAGUGAUGAACUCACAAGUGACUUGCUCUUUAAAAGAGAUAGUAAUCGAUUAUGAGAAUAGGAAGGUUUGAUAAGUAAGAUAGAAUGAAAAUUGAUGUGUAUUAGAAUUUGAGAAGAGAUUCACAUCGGUACAAUUACACGAGGAAAGAACUCUAUUUAUAGAGACAAUUUAACAACUCUAAAAGUAGCCAUGCAAGGCAUACUGGACAUUAGAGUGUUUUACAGAAAAAGACAAAUAACCUAAGUAAUGAUAAGGACAGCGAUGCAGACGACUUCAGAUGGCCAGAUUGCUUGACUGCGGUUGCUUAGAGGCUAUGGUAGCUGAAGUUCGAGAGGGUCACUUUUUUGAUUCAACAAUUUCCCCUACGUGACCUCUUUAACUUUGAUCAGUUAUCAAGUUUAAGGAACUUAAUCAGGAUCCACCAAAACUUCCUGACGUUCUCUAACCAGUUGAUUCUUCUUAGUAUUUCAAACUUGACUUCUGCGGUUGUAUGUUUGGAUUUUUCAACUAAGUUGCGGCAGAUCUCAAGUUGUUUCUUGGUUAGACGGUGCAUAGCAGUCAUAGGAAUAAAAUAUUUGACGUUGUCAGUCUUCCUCUUGAAAAUGACUCCUAGUUCAGGGUAGUUGGUUGCUCCUAAUGAUCUUUCUUCAUAGCCUUCGGUAGGCAUGGGUGCGGGGUCAAGUGGUGGCAAGUCAGCAAUCUUGGAAAUGAUGGGAUGAAUGUCUGCAUCUAUUUUGGCGAAGUCACAGACUGUUUCCUUAAGAAAUGUGCUGGCCCUUUCAAGUGCGAUCUUCAUCUUCUGAUGCUUCUCGGACUUGUGCUGAAAUACCUUGGCAAUGAGAAACACUUCUUCUUGGUUCGUAUACGGGAAAUCAGCCUGGGUGCGGAUGUAGUCGUGCUCCCUCCUGGGCAGGGUGUACUGGAUAAACUCAGCCUUCAUGAAUUUCCGGAUCUUGUAAUUUUUGACAGCUGAUGGUGUGUCGUUAGACCAUAUGUGUUCAACCGGAGAGGCAUGCUUAGCAUAGAAUUGGCUAAGUCUCUCGAACUCCAUCGGAAGUCUUUUCUCGUUGGGAAGGCUGCGGUCGAACUACUCAAAUACAGUGAAGUAUCUGGCAUUCGGUGAGAUUGGGAUAUCCCAAUAACCAUCUGAGGGGGGUUCUGCAUAGGUAAGAUGCGGGACAUAGUCAUCAUCAAGAAGCCUUCUGUGAGGAUUGACCCAAGAGUUUAUUAGGGACUCAUCCACAACCGAGUCGAAUCCGCAAAGUCUCCAAAUUUCUUCAGCAAGCUUGGCUACUCUCCAAUCACUUUUCUUUUGAGAAGUGGCAGGAGAGUCGUUUGUGCUGGGAGAAGACAUAUACUCCACCAGAUUCUUAAAGUGCAGGGGAGUCUUUGGUUUUUCAGGAGUUAUGUCAAUUUGAGGAGGAGAGUUGUGAGGAGGGGUGUGAUGAGAUGGUUGCGGAGUGGGAAUUUUUCCAGUAGAGGUUAUGGGAGUUUAAUGGUGUGAGAGAGAUUAGUUGGAAUGAUGGACUUGAUGGACUUCUUCACUUCCCCCUCUUGAGGAGUUUAGACCCGGAGCCUCCUCAAGCCAUUGACGGAGGCCAUCAACCUUGUCAAAACAGUUUGAAAUUGUGCUUUGAGGGCGUUUGCCAACUGUUGAUUGUUGGGAGUGGAUGAAUUGAAGAGUAGUUUAUGAAUCUCGUUGGUGAGUUAGAGAAUUUCCGGCCCAUUUAUCCAACUAUCAAUGAUUUGCAUAAUAGUCCCCUUUAUUUAAUUAAUCUCUUUUAGCCACAAAAUCAAUUCUUAUUAGUUCUUGACUAUUAUUAAUUAAAUAAUAUGAUUUGUUUUUUAAUAUAUUAUUCAUAUAAUACAUUAAUAAAUCAUAAUUAAUCCUCUUUCUCCUUAAUUCAUCCUAUCAGUUGCUAUGGUGAAGGCAACCCAAAAGGACCAUGCUCACAAUCGGGUCAUGUACAUACCAAAAUAGUUAUGGGCGUAGACACCUAUUCCAACAUUCUUGUGGGUGUUUGAAGCUCUUGGAAGGAAAAAAAGUUUGAAGGAACAAUGAAGAGUUGCUAGAUCCAGAAACCACUAUUGAGAAAAAAACUUUGAGAAACACUUGAAUAAAUUGUUAUAACAAGUAUAUAGCGGAAUAGUUAAUCUCGAAGGAUCUGUUAGCUCAACAAUAAUAUUAAGUGUUAGAAGUUAGUGAGUUAGAUGCGGAAAAGUAAAAAAAUGUAAAUGAAAACAAUUGUUAUAUCAAGUAUCCACAAAAGCAGAUUCAUAACAAGGAAUGCAUUCAAACCAAGUUAGUAAAUGAGAUCUAACUUAGUAAUUAAGUCACAAGCAACUUGUUGAGGCUGUAGUGGAGGGAGAGGAUUCUUUGUGCAACGACAGUGAUUAUUUUGAAAGUUGUGGUUGAAAGGUGGUCGGUUGUACUUUGAUUUUUACGAAAUGAAGGUGGUAAGCGAUUGAAUUUUUGACUGACAAGGGCAAUGGCAUUUUGAAAUUCUUCUUCGUCAUCAUAUUCUGAGUCUGCUUCAUAUGACUGCAGUGAUGAGUCAUAUGAAGUGGGAUAAGUUUGAGUGUGGGGUGAUUGCGCUACAAGAGCAAGUGGACCUCCGAAGUCUGAGCAGUUCUUGAGUACAGUGGACUCUUGAGCUUGCAACUCACCAUAGAGCUUAUAGAGGGACAACGAGUGAAUCUUCACGUCUCCUUGAACAAUCAUUUUGGUUGUUGUCCAAUGUCUUCCCAAGCCAUUAAGGAACUGUAUGUUUGUUUCAUGAUUGCUGCAGACGGUGCCCGCAUUGGACAGUUUUUUGACAAUCAAGUUGAAUCUCUUAAAGGAGUCUUCCAAACUUUCACCGGAGUGAGCUUUGAAGUUGUUGAAUUCGUUGAGAGCCGUAGUGAGCUUCUUGUCUUGAGCUUGCUUUGAAACUUCGUACAAGUUUUUGAGAACAUCCCAAAUAUCCUUUGCUGAUUUGCAGUUUAUGAUGAUGUCAAAGUUGUCAGGAGCAACUCCACAAGAUAUUUCAUAAAAGGCAAUAUCAUCAUUUUCCAUCUUGUCGAGAUCAUCUUUGGUGGGACGGUUCAAAGUUGGUUGACCUCCUCCCAGCCUUGCAGUGGCUCCAUCAGUUUGGACUGGUGUGAGGAAUGGAACAUGUGGUCCUUCAUCUAUAGAUCGCCAAAAAUCUCUACCAAGUCGUCUGAGAUAUCUUACCAUCCUUUGAGACCAGUGACAGUACUCAUUUGCAACCAGUAUUGGGACUCGAUUAGAACCACCAACACUGUUGGAGACAUUUAGUGAUAACGAUUGUGACAUUUUGAAGAAUUUUUUUGUGUUUAAGAAAUGAGCUUCAGUGGUAUAGAAAGCUCUUCGAAAAAUCAGAGUUUCGAUUUUCAAAAGGCAACGACUAUGGCUCUGAUACCAAUUAUUGAGAGAAAAACUUUGAGAAACACUUGAACAAAUUGUUAGAACAAGUAUAUAGCGGAAUAGUUAAUCUCGAAGGAUCUGUUAGCUCAACAAUAAUAUUAAGUGUUAGAAAUUAGUGAGUUAGAUGCGGAAAAGUAAAGAAAUGUAAAUGACAACUAUUGUUAUAUCAAGUAUACACAAAAGCAUAUUUAUAACAAGGAAUGCAUUCAAACCAAGUUAGUAAAUGAGAUCUAGCUUAGUGAUUAAGUCACAAGUGACUUGCUCUUUAAAAGAGACAGUAAUCAAUUAUGAGAAUAGGAAGGUUUGAUAAGUAAGAUAGAAUGAAAACUGAUGUGUAUUAGAAUUUGAGAAGAGAUUCACAUCGGUACAAUUAUAUGAGGAAAGAACUCUAUUUAUAGAGACAAUUUAACAACUCUAAAAGUAGCCAUGCAAGGCAUAGUGGACAUUAGAGUGUUUUACAGAAAAGACAAAUAAACUAAGUAAAGAUUAGAACUGUGGUGCAGACGACUUCGGAUGGCCAGAUUUCUUGAUUGCGCUUGCUUAGAGGCUGCGGUAGCUGAAGUUCAAGAGGGUCACUUUUUUUUACUCAACAACCACACUCCAUUUGUGGUAGCUGAGGUGCAGCAGUUGGCACGAGAUUUCCUGGAUCUCCGCCAGACUACUAAGAUAGUGGCAGAGAUCACUGCCAAGUUCUGGGAGAGGGCUUUAUUUUACCACAAUAUGUAGCAGACGAGGAGAUGAACAAAGUAAUGUACCAUGAUAUGUUGCGGGAUGACAUUAGGAAAUUCGUGAAUAGUUCGGGGUACGAGACCCUGAAUAAUAUGAUCUCUAGAGCCCGAGAGCGGGAGAUUGAUUUGGAGCACAUUGAGAAGAGGAGGUCAAAUCAGGUGCAUACUUUAGAUGGUACCGGGAAGAGACCCAAGACUUUUGACCAACAUUCAAGAGGCGAGCAUGACUGGAUUCAGUGCAGCACGUGCGGGAAACUACACGAUGGAGUUUGUCGCUCCAUGGGUUUGGGUUGAUACAAGUGUGUCAGGGUUGGUCACGUCAGCAGGGAUUUCCCUCAAGGGUCAAGCCCAUAAUAUUUUCACGGUGAUCGGGUGGGCCACAAGAAGGCCGACUGUCCGACGUUGUGGGGAGGAGCAGUGAGUGCGUUUGCUUUGACUUCUUUGAGGAUCACCGACGGAUGAGAUGGUAGAGCAGGAGCCCCAAUGGAGAGGAGUUGAGUUCUGCAGGUAUGUACGUUUUGCCUUCUUUCAUGUUAUUUAUAUAUGUAUUUAUGGUUGUUAGGGUAUUGCAUCAGUUUGGGUAAGCAUAUAAUCGGUUUAUUCUCUGCUUGUGUUUGGAUUAAUUUUCAAGAAAUUUCAUAUGACAAAUGCAUGUCGUGAAUUAUUAGUGUUUAGUGUAAGGUCUUUUCCAUCAUGUUGGUUCAUGGUGCUCAGCAUUAUCUCGGCUCGUAAUCGAGAUUGGUUCAUGGACUUCAUGUGGAAGGUCUACAGUCAGGGUUCAACAGGGUGGUUAUCCACCCACGUCAGGUUUCAGAGGGUUCAAUCAUUAUGCUCAGAUGGACUCAUGGGGUCGCCAAGGGAAGUGGUCUACUACCGAGGUUUUGGUCGAAGUGUCGGUUAUUUGGAGCUCAAGACCUAAGUACGAAAUCAUUUCAAGGAAUCUGGAGUUAUUAGUAUUGCUAGAGUUCAAAAAGUGUUCAUCUAGUCUUCAUGGGUUGAAUGGUAUUUUAAGUUAGCCAAGUAAAUGGGUCGCUAGCUUUGGUAAGCGCCGAUUAUCAGCAGAUCAAUCAUUGGAUGGUUGGAAGGAUUAGAAACCCUUCCAUUUCUCGUAUUCUAUGGAGACUUAGUCGGAUCGAAGUGGGGGGAACUAUUCACAUAUCCAGAAUAGAAGUCGAUAUGAAAGUGGGAUGAGAUCAUACCCCUAUCAGGGAAGGAAGGGUGGCCCAAGUGGCUGCCCGAAUGGAGGAUAAUAUAAACGGGAAGUUCAGAAAACUCCCCGACUUUAGGAUCACAUUAGAUUGAGUUGUAGCAAACUAAGGGGGCCCAGGUUGAGGAUCCAGUCAGGGCAUGAGUUCAGUGUGGGAUGGUAGACCAUGUGUGUGAUCGACCUUGGGUGUGUUCGGAUUGGUAAUUAGCGGUGGAUUUAGUAUGGAAAGUGAUGUAAGAUUGCGGGAUUGUCGUAGCAUUCACCAUCAGCCAGAUAUCAUGUAAGGUGUUAAGACUGUAGGAUAGACAUAACAUUUACCAGCAUCCAGAUAGCAUCGAAUGUGUUGUAAGAAUGCGGGAUAGCCGUAGCAUUCACCAGCGGCCAGAUAGUGUGGGGGAAUAUGAUAAGACUGCAGGAUGGCCUGUAGCAUUAGUCACCAGACAGCGUAGAAGUGUUGUAAGACUGCGUGGUGACUCGUAGCAUUCACUAGUUAGCAGGUAGUGCAUAAGUGUUGUAAGACUGUUGUGUGGCCCGUAGCAUUCACUAGUUGGUAGAUAGAGUAGAGGUGUUGUAAGAGAUCAUCAAUCAGUAGAAGCGGGUAAUGGUUCUUCAUCGUUAACUUGUUCAGCUCCCGAUAAUCAAUGCACAUCUAGUGUGAACCAUCUUUCUUCUUUAUGAACAAAAUCGGUGCUCCCCAUGGCAAACUGAUUGAUGGGAUAAACUGUUUGCCUAACGGCUCCUAAAUCAGAGAGAAAAACUCCUACAUCUCAGGUGGUGCUAAGCAGUAUGGCAACUUAGCAAUCGGGGCCGCAUCGGGAACCAAAUCAAUCCCAAACUCAACCUGCUUUGUAGGAGGCACGUUAGGUAAAUCCUCUGGGAAUACAUCUGUAAACUCUCUGACUACAGACACAUCUGAAAUUGAAACGCCCCAUGUAAACCAAGUGCUAACAACAUAUGCUACGUAACCCAAGCAUCCAUGUUGAAGAUAUUGACGAGACCUGGCGGCUGAACAAAAGGCUGAACCAACUUAGGUACCCUCGCCAUAAACAAUCAGUUCUCACCCCCUUGGGGUUCAAACUAUCACAUGCUGCCUUUCACAGUAGAUGAUGGCUCUAAAUUUGCUCAACUAAUCCAUACCCACUAUCACGCACACAUCCCUAUAGGGAUGGGAAUUAGUUCAAUCGGGUAGGACACCCUGAAUAUCUCCAAUGUAUAGUUCCAAAAAAAACUCGAGGUUCCAAUCCCAUGUUCUUUGGCAAUGGAAACUCGCUUCAAACACUCCAACUCCCUAACUGUCACAAAAAAAUCUCUAUUGAAGGAUUGUGAUACAAAACACUGAAUCGUAUCCGAUUCCAAAAGUACAAGAGUAGGAAAAGAGUUCACUAAUAAUGUACAUAUCAAAAAUACAAUCAUAAGAAGAUAAGGAAAUAACUUGACAGAAUAAUAAAUGAAUACAUUCCAAUAAGGACCUCAGGCGCCACGCAUGGCAUCCUCUGCUAUGAGCUGAAAAGCACAACCCCUAGCUCGCGAGGUCUCAGCCCUCUCAUGUUGCCCAUCUGUGAUCCGAAGAGUGGUCGGAGCUGGUACCAGCACCAAGUUCCACUAAUCCUUCACGACCAGAUGAAGAAGGUUCAGGGCGUACCUGACCUUCUAGUCUUACUGACAGGAACAAGUGAAAAAGCAGCCCUCCACAUUAGAUAUCCAUCUCAUAUCCACGAUCGGGUCCUUGACCCCGUCGAACUCCGGUGGCUUCAUGUUGCUAAAGUUGAAGGGUUUUGAGCAUUCUAACACUCUUAAGGUGUACAUGCAACCCUAAAUACCAUGGAUCUAUGUUUUCUCUAUUAUACAUGCAAACUUGAACUUUCCAAUGUAUUACCCUAACUAGCAUACAAAAGUUUGAUACUUGGGUAAUAAAACAAGUUACAUAACAUACCUUUUCUUUUAGCUUGUUGGAAACCUUGAACCUUUAGCCUUUAAGAGCUUAGCACCAAUAGUAUGAAUGCCUCAAGAGGAAUCACAACACCUCUAGAACAAAAGGAUAACUUGAGAAAAUAUUCCUUGCACACACAAAUCGGCCAGCCCUCUAGUAUUCCACAUAAGUGCUCUUAGGUGCCAAAUUUGGUAGCCAUAGGGUCUUUUAUAUAGUGUAGCAAACUAGGGUUACACCAUGUAAACCCUAAUGACUUUUCAUGUCCCUCAUGCUCCAUGGGUUAAAACCUCCAUAGAGUAUUCAUGGGUCACCACAUGGGUUUAGUCCAACAUGAAGAACUAUGGAUCAUAAGCCCACUUUAUAAUAAUGAAUGAUUUACCAAAUCAACCCCUUAUAUUUAAUUAGUCUCUUUUGAUCACAAAAUUAAUUAUUGAUCAAUACUAAUUAAAUAAUAUGAUUUCAUAUUAAUAUAUUAGAACUUAUAAUAUAUUAAUAAACCAUAAUAACUUCUUCUCCAAAGUCCAUCAUAUCAAAUUGUCCUGAUGAUAUGCAACCUAAAUGGACCAUGCUACUCUCGGAUCAAGUACAUACCAAUUAUAGUUAUGGACUUAGACACUAAUCCAAAAGUCUUUCACUUGGAUAAGUCUAAUAACUAUUAUUGCAAGUAUGAGUCCACAACCCGUCUAGCAAUCGUAGCUCUUAAAAGUCGUUGUCGAAUUCUAACCUAGUCAAUGACGUGUCCAUUAGAUAAGGGAUCAUAUAUUCCUCCAUGCUGGAUAUCAUAUGGACUGAGACAUGGAUUAUAAUCAUUCACUCUAUCCAUCUGUUGUUUCCUGAUUUCUGAUUUAUGACAACUGACUAAUUGAACAAAUCAAAUCAAUCCGGGCCUGAUGUUAUCAAUAAAUCAUCGAGGGGCCCACAUAUAUCACUUUUAUCCACAUGGGGUAAAAGGAACGGAUACACUUCGACCCAAAUGCUUGCUUGUAAUUAAUCAUCAAAUUACACACAACGAUAUGUUUUAUAGCAUCCAAGUAAUUGGUGCGUUUACAUAUGUCAAUGUGCAACCGACUUGCAACUACAACUCACAUGUCUCCGUUUCAAGAAUAUAAGAUAUUAUCGUCUCACAAUCACUCAUGAUAAAAUCCAUGAAGUGAUUCAGAUGAACGUGAGUUGAAUCCAAUACUCGAAUCUUAUUCCAAGAGUACUCAUGAACACUGCAGCCACCUUGUCCUAGACAAACUACAGACCUAUUCAUGACAGUCUUGCCUCAAUACCUACUUCCAAAGUAUGAUCGGCUGUGGAUGGUUUGAAUAACCUAGUUAUUCAGGAAGUCAAAACAUGCAAAGUGAAACACAAGAAUAAUAUUAAUCCUAUAUGGCCCCAAAACAUUUGAUCCAUAUUGAUUACUUAUUAUUCAUUGAAUAAUGUUACGAAUAAUAACCUUAACACUUGAAUUAAAACAAUAGUUAUGCCAUGCUCCAAGCAUGCACACUAUGUUUGUCUAUGGUCCUUACUUUGUGAAAUAGAUCAAUUGAAAAACAUUUCAAUGAUGCUCAUUUCAAAAUUCCAAAUCCUUAUUGCAAGUGUAAGAAUUCCAAAUUCUUGUCACUGCUAGAAACUGUUAGAUUCUAAACUAUCAUGCAAUGAUUCUUUUGUAAUGUCUAGGUGCCAAAAGUCACAGAGACUUGACCAAUGAUAUUGCAAAAUAUUCCUUUGGAGAUCGUUACAAGACAAUUCCAGGGAAAUGAAGUCUCAAAUUCAAAGUACAUUCCUUUGAACAUCCUUCUUGCAUAAAAGUUUUUAACUUUCUCAUCUAUUCUUCAACUCCCAAUAAGGAAACAUUCCAUAUUCCAAAUUUUCCAUACGACAACUCAUUAUUAAUAGACUCCUGUCUAUUCAUAAUAAUGUCAAUAUGGUCCUUCCAUUACUAUACUUCCAACUGUCCUUAAGCGACCAAUCCUUGGCAAACCUUAGAUUGUCCUUACUAGUUGUUUAACCACUUUAGUCAUAUCCGGUUCUAUUCCUUUUUCCCUCUUAAUUCCCUAGGCAUUCGGAAAAUUAGAACACGAGAAUAUUAUAGCAUAUACAAUCGAUCCUAUACCCAAAGCAUAUGGGAUACGAUUCUAAAUGUCUAACAUAAAGACAUGAUACUUAAUCAGUCUUGUGCUACAAUAAUUUUUUUAUUUGACAUGUUCUCAUAAUUUGAAUUAUGAAAAGGGAUGCCGUAAUCAUAAUCAAAUUUUGAGAAUGCAAUUAGCAUUUUCAUAUAUAGAAUUUCCUUAUGUUGAACCAUUCCAACAUAACAUUCACAUAUAUUUGACUAAAAUUGAUUAAAAUCUCAAUCAAAGUUUUUAGAUUUGAAAUGAAGUUUGAAUUCCUCUCCCUUAAUUAUAGCAAAACAAAUUUUCAAACCCCUGCAUCUUUGCAAAUUGAAAAUUUUGUUUUCUAUAAUUAACAUUGCUAACUUGCAACAUUUUCCAUAAUAAUUAUGCUCGCACUAGCAUAAUAAUUAUUAUUUUACUAGCAUAACACUUAUGCUCCCACUAGCUUUGACAUGUACCCAGAAACCAACUGGACUUUCAUUACCAAAGUUCAAAUUUCUGAUACGAGAUGCUUCGAUAAGACUUUAUCUAGGCUUCUCAAAAUCAUACACAUUUCCUUAGACAAUUCACAUGUGUGUCUAAAUAGUUUUAAGAACUUACAACAGCAAGUCUCAAAUGUUUAGACUUUCUGCCAUUCCUCACAAUUCGAAUUAUGAAAAGGGAUGUCGUAAUCAUAAUCAAAUUUGAGAAUGCAAAUAUCACAACUUCUAUCUCCUUGAAAUCUACUUAGUGAAAGCAUUUCCUCACCAUCAUUUUCAUGAAUCGGAGAGAAACCUUAUGAAACUUAGAUUUCAUGGUGUAUGUGCACCUAUCCAUGUGAAUUUGUCAUAACCAUAAUCACAAGACAAGGUUAGUGACAAAUCCAAACUCAUAUAGACUGAACUUGUUCAAUCUUAAUUUCUUGCCACCUGGCAGCACAAAGGCCUACCAUUGCUUCCAAGUAGCUAUGCAAACAAUUGAGAACUCAUAGAACUCACAUGCAUAAUCAACUUUAACUGGAAUGGGCACAAAAAUAAGAAUAUGUUAACACGACAGAUUACGAACCUCAAGUUGUGUGCUAGUGUUUAACAUUAGGUUUAUUCUUGAUUAGUUCUUGAAACUUGUCAAGAUCUUUAAGACUCCCACUGCCCUCUCGACAUAUAAGACUCUCUUGUCAUGAAUCAUUCCUUGACAAAAAAAAAUAUUCAAGAGUUAGUGUGGAUUUUUAUGAAGACAAACACUUCACACAAUUAGCAUUAGUUGGUCUUUGUUUUAUCCAAAACAUUACAACUUACCAAUUUGAAAUGUACAAGAGUAGAAAAACUUUUACUCUACAUUUGAUAAGUGUUUUAAUCCUUUUUUAAGAUUAUGUCACUCAAGCUUACAAUCUUGGAGUAUGACUCUAAUACUUGUUUUGGGAACGAAGUAUGACUCAUCUUCCUGAUUUAACCAUUUCAACAAUUCACGAUUCCUCUUCUUAGCCAUACAAAUGCACUAAGAUGUCUUUAGAGAAUCAACUGUGAUAUGGUUUUUCCAUCACCAUUAAGAUGAUCAUAAAACAUGAUACUAAAGUACUCUCCCAUCCUUCCAGAUUGGAGAAACCUUUAUAUUUCUGCCUAAUUUGAUUCUUCUCAUUUGUUCUGCCAUAUAUUGAACCUUUUCUAAUGUUUCAGAAUUAUACUUAAACUUGUAAGCGUAACCAUGUUUACUAAACAUUAGUAAAUCAUGACGAAUAGUCUUAUCAAUCCUUGUGGUGGAUCUUGACCAGCACACACACAGUGUACCUGAUCCCCUAGUCCUUCACUUUACUCACAUAUACAUAUGAACAAGAAUCAGUGUUAAUUUACAAAAGAUGAAAAUUCUCAUUCAUCAUACAAUACAACUUGCAUGAUUCCAAGCUUCUGUCCAAUCAAAACUUCGGUGAUGAGAAUCUUUCCUUAUUUGGUAAAUUUUGACACUACCACAAAUGAAAGAAUCAACUCCAUAUUGCUAACAUAGAAACAUGCAAACAUCAAUUUUCACUAAUGCCAUUGUAAGGAGAUAAAAAAUAAAAACAAAAUUUUAUUUAUUUACAAAAUGCGGAAAAAACUUUAAUGCAGUUACAAAUGAAAAAUAUGUUAUUAAAUAUUUCCUAGCAAUCUAUCGUAACUCCUAAGCAGUAGCUCAAAAUCCGAUCUGCAAACCAUGCGAUUGAAAUCCAUCUUCUCGAUAAGAUUCAACAUACUCUUCCUUUAAGCUUCCUUCCCUUUUCAUGAUCCUACAAAACAUCAAAAUGCAACCUUGUCACAUCAUGUAUUAAGAAUCAACAAUUAGGAACUUAAUAGAGUUAGAUAGUAGACUUGCUUGAAGUAGAGUUAAGCUUUCACUUUACCGUCCUUGUGGUCAUUCAGGUAAAUAUGGCAGCUUUGCAACCAAUGCCCCUUUUUUGGCAAUAGAAACAUAUAGACUCUUUGGGAAUGGUACACGGGACAAUCUCAUACUUAGCAUUUCUUUUUCACUUGGAAAGAGGAACCUUUUUUGGACUUCUAAUGUUUCAAUUGUUAAUGUCCACGAAAGUUUGGGGAGUAGAUCUUCCAUUCAAGUUUGCUUUUCCAAUACGCCAAAUCAUUGUCUAUUCAGCAGCAAUAAGCAAAUAGGUAAGAUCAACCAGGGUAAUGUCAUGGUCUGUCACAUAGUACUCCUUAAUGAACUCAUUAUAUGACUCAGGAAGUGAUUGAAGAACCCAGUCAACAACCAACUUCCUUGAGACUUCGACACUCAAUACUCUCAACCAUUCAAUAUGUCAAUUCAUCUCCAAGACGUGAGUACACACAUGCCUUCCAUCUCCAUGUUUCAUUGCAAGUAGGGCUUGAGUGACCUUGAAUUUUUCAAGUCUUUGAACUUGUGGGUUGGGGAGAAUUAUUGGAGGAGAUGGAGGAAGUGAAGUAUGACUUCCACAAUCCAAUCACGGGACAUCAUUUUUAAGAGGAAAACUUGUUCCAAAGAAUUUGGGAAGACCACAGAUGUCUGAACUAGACAUCUACAAUGGGAGAAAUUCAAAUUAGUUGAUUUGGUCCUUAAUAUAACACCCAAAGGAAAUAUUAAGGCUAGGACCCAACACAAUAAUUUACAAUUUGUAAGAGGGAUGUUGUCACACCCCCAAACCGCAAUGGUGGAAACGUUCGGGGGCGGAGGACGUCAUGCUCAGUAUCACAACAAAUGUAGAAUAGUAAAACAAGCAACAACAACCAUAUCAUUAAUAUUAAAUUGUUUACAUUGUAUUCGAUUCAUAAAAGAUUGACUACAAAAGUAAAUAACAAAACAAAGAUAUGAAGCUACUAUGCUCCAUCUUCUGAAUCCAUGUACGUGUACAUGUCUACUAGUUUCCUGAGAAUACAACUGAUUUUGAAACUGUAUCAACAUUUAAGUUGGUGAGUUCAUAAGUAUUUACAUUAUAAAAAGUACACUCUUAGUUGUUUGGAAAAGUUCGUCGGUUCCUCCAUAAAAUCCUAUAUUUUCUGAUGUCAUGAGUGAUAAGUAAAACUGACUCUUACAAUUCUUUCUAUAAGUACUUAAUGAAUACAAGUUAUAUACAAUUCAAAUCAAACAGACAAUCGAUUUUGUGAAUCUGCCCUAAGCCCAUAACCAAACAAGGAACAGGAAAUGAGGCAAAAGUUACACAUCCCAUUGUUUGUUAGAUCAUCAUUGUAUAUAACCCGGACAUAUUCAAUAGAUGCUUACAGAGUUAACUGUAAUAGUUCUUUAAAAUAUGAUGAAAAUAUUCAUUUAAGAAAAUCUUAUAUUUCCUUUAAGUAUAAUGGUAACCAUAAUAGUUCGUUCUACAAUCACUUAGUUUAUACAAGCUAUAUAUGACCUAAUAUCGAACGGACAGUUAAAUGUGUGAAUCUGCCCUAAGCCCACAACCAAACAAGGAACAAGAAAUCAGGCGGAAAUCACACAUUCCACUGCCUAUAUAUAAAUUUGAUGUAUAAACUAAGGAAUUAUAGAAUUAACCACUAAAGGUCCUUUAUGUUAUACUAGUUUGUUAACAAGUGUUGAACCUUUUGUAAAAAGCUUCCUAAUUCCAUUUACUCUAAUGUAAAACAUUGUUUUCAGAAAGUUCUAUCGAAAACCUUUUAUCUUUGAAAUAACGAUGUUUACCAUAGAAAAUCCUAUAUCUUAUAUAAACCGAGUUGUAGUCUUACUCGUUCCAAGACCAAAAAGCACAAAUACAAAUAUUGCACUUACUGUAAUGUUAUUUAGUUUUAUUGAUAAGUUAGACUGGCUGGAGACUUGGUUGUUCUGGAAACCUGAUGUGACGAUACUACCCUCCUAUGAUUACUUAACACAUACGAGUUGUAUAUAACCGAGAUCGAACAGACAGUUGAAUGGGUGUAUCUGCCCUAAGCCCACAACCAAACAAGGAAAAGGAAGUAAGGCAAAAGUCACACAUUCCAUUGUCUAUCGGACUUCAGUUUUAUCUAACUGUAUCGUGUUUAUUAAGUAAUAACAUAGUUAAUAUCCCUUUAGAUUUGUUUAAGAAAAGUAUAUUACUACGUAAAUAUGUCGUUGUUAUCUACUUGUGAGUUUUAUGACCAUACUAAUUGAUACAAUGUGAAUCGGACGCCAAUAUCGUUUAUGACGUUUGUCACCCGCAGACAUGCCGGUCCGACUGUAGCUAACAGUAGAGGUGAGGGAUUGUCGGUCCCAUAUAGAUCUAUACACAAACUCACGCUCUCCCGCAAGGAGACUCUGGUUCAUACGGGUAGACUUCCACAGGUACGUAUGUAAGUACUCGAAGACGUGUCUCACAAACUAGAUUAAUGACUUUACAAGUAAUAAUGUGAAAACCCUUUUAAGUAACAGAUAAGUUUAUAAAAAUAUCCUUUUUUUUCCAUUAACUAUACUUAUUAUAGUUUAUAAGCUUAUUUUCCAUGCUGUAAUAAGUUUCAUGUUUUAAAUACAGUUCAAUGGUAAGAAAGACAUAAUAAGCAAUUUAUAUUUUAAAACACAACAUUUCUUGUGUUUUACUUGUAUUCCCCCUAAAACAAUUAAAAAGUUUGGAAAAAAUAUGGGGUAUGAACUCACCUUAUGUUGGAGAUUCGAUUGAAGAUAUGAUAUAGGAUGAUAAGUUUCACGAGUGAAGUCCCGAAGCACAAGCGAGUCGUAUUUAGUGAUUUUAACCAUAAAUAUAGCAAGGAAACAGACCGAAUUGCAAGCUAAACUUACAAAAGAGGGUGUUAGAAGCAAGAAUGGAAGGCUGAAUGGAGUUCAUGGCCUACACUUGGAGUUCACGGCCCAAGAACACUUAGUGUUCUUGAGUUCACGGCCCAACAAGCUUGACGAAUGAUGAAGAUGCAAGUGUUUUAGGCCUAGAAGUCCCUAGAAUGAUGAUGAAAUGAUGAACACCUUGAAGAUCCAAGCAAUAUUCUAAGAAAAGUUGAAGGCUUGAAGAUGAUACUUGAGAGAAAAUUAUUGAAGUUUGCGGCUAGGAGUGAAAGAAUGAGGAAAAAUCAGUCUCACUUAUAUAUAUAUAUAUAUAUAUAUAUAUAUAGGGUAAGGAUUCACGACCGAAGGAUGGUUCACAAGCCGAAGUUCACGGCCGAGGGUUCACGACUCAGAAGACUAUUCACGGUCCGAAGAGGUUCACGGCUCCGAAGUGGUUCACUGUCCGAAGGUUCACAGCUCGGAUGUACAAGGUUGCGAGGUGGUUUGAGGUUCGGCCUCUUGGUUUUCAUGCAUUUCAUUCCAAAUUCAUGCAAUACUUCUAAUUUAAAGGAUUUUGAACCCAUCUAGAUUUUAAAUCUCGUUAAUUUAGAUGGAUCAAAAUAAUAAGUUUGACUUUUGUUGACCUAAAACAAUGUGUUAUUACAUCAUCCCCCCGUUAGAGAGAAUUUCGACUCGAAAUUAGCUUUCUUAGCAGGACUUUUGGGGUUGUGCUCCUCUGAAUGGUCGAAUAUCCACAUGUAGACACGACAACUUUGCCUGAAGUUCAUGAUAGGAUUUAUACAUGGUCCAUCUCUCAUUACCUCAUAUAUAUACAAGACGUAUAUAAUUAAGAUUAGUAGGACGGUAUGAUGUACGACUCGGCCUUAGGUUCUCAACCAAACAAGGAACAGGAGAUAGGGCAGAAGCAUACAUUCUUAGUCUGCAGAAUCUUAAUUAUAUACUACUAUCACAUAUACACUUAGUAGUGAUAAGUUAACCGUAUUCGUCCUUAACCUCUAUGCUUGAACUUGACCUAUUGCACGAGUGGUAAUUCUGGAAGGUUUGUUGGGUAUACAUCAGAAAGGUUACGGAGGGCAAGGUACUCCAUGCAUGAGUACUUUGGGGUCUAGAAUAUGAGAGAGAUGAUUCUGAGGUCUGUGCCGGGUUGUCGUUAUGAGUGACGAGGGUUUCGUUAAUCAGUCGGUUAAGGCGGUGGGUUUUCGUAACACAUGAACUUGGUAUGGUGAGGACCAUGCCAAUCCACGUCGAAUGACGACACCGAACUCUUUAUAGAAACAAGUGUUAAUUCGAUUUGAAAGAAACUUCUGUUAUAAUGAUGGUGUAUCCCGAUGGUGUUCGAAAGUGCAUUAUGUUUAGGCUUUCUAGUUCUUUCUCGAUAUUACCAUUGCCACAAAACGUACCGCAAUAAGAGAGUACUAGCAGUGAAAGUGCUUUGAUAACUAGUGACAAUACUUUAUAUUAUGAUCCUUCUCGGUAACUCUAUGAUCGCUUGGCAUAUACAAGUUAUGUAUAAUUAAGAUAAAUAAGACAAUCGAUAGAGUGACUCUGCCCCAUAUCCACAACCAGACAAGGAACAGAAAAUGAGGCAGAAUCACUCACUCUAAGCCUGCAAUAUCUUAGUUAGACAUAACCCUAAUGUACAUACUAAGCCAUCAUAGCUUACCUGUAUGGAUCUUUAGUGCUCUUAUGAAUGUUGUGACUUGUUCGGAUGAGUGAGUUAUUUAUAACUACUUUUAAAAUUUUCCCCAAGUUUUAAUAUUAGGUAUUGUUUGUUUUUUGGAAAAAAAUCUCUUCAGACCUCUUAUUGUUGCGCGGCGCGGCACACGCGCAACACUUUUCAUCUCGCAGCUAUUUGUUUUUCAGGAUUCUUCGGAUUAAACAACCUCUGCAUGUGUUCUUCUUGGUGCAGCACUUGUUUUGCCUCUUCCUACCUCUUCCAACCUCUUCUUUAAUUUUUCUUGCUAAAAUAUUGAUUAUAUAUUGUUGAAAUCUUAUUACACAUUUUAUCUUUGUUUUUUUUAUUUAUUUAUUCUUGUUGAUUUUUUUUUCUUUUCUUAUAUUGAAUAAUAAUAAUUUGUUGAUGAAAUAUCAUUAUUUUAUGCGAAAAUAUCUUCAUUUUUUUGUUAAAAUAUCAUUAUUUUUUGCUGAAAUAUCAUAAAUUCUUGCCAAAAUGUCAUACAUUAUUAAAUUUUCAGUAUUAUAAAACUAUUUUCGGAGUAUAAAAUCAGUUUAUUUUAAUCUUUUAAUAUUUGCAGCAUUAUGCAAAUGUUAAAAAAAACAAACACGCUUCUUAUUAUAGUUUGCAGCCGUUUGGUCCACCUUUUCUACUGCAGAGGGUUGUAGAGGUGCUCCGCAUACUUUAUGGAUUUUUGCUUCAAAAAAACAAACAACACCUUAAUUUAAAUUAAAUCUUUAAUGUAAUUUUAUUUAGAAGACGUACCGAUGUUCGCUGAUUGUUCCGGGGCAGUCUCUUCUGCGAUGAUCAUCAGUAUUCGCCCUUCCCUGGCGAAGUUCUUCGUUAUUGGGCAGUCCCUCUUGUAGUGCCCAGUCUCACCACACCCAUAACAGGCCUGGUUUACUUCUACUCCGGGGACUUGGGAGAUUGGUUGUGCCGACGCACUGCAGAAACGAGCAGUGUGCCCCUUCCUGCUGCAAUUCAUGCACUGCAUCUCCCGGUAAGCUCCGGUGUGGUGGUAGUUACACUUACUACACUUCGGUAGGGUUCUAGCAUAUCGACUAACAGGCACUGGAGUGGUAGGUGUUGUGGCGGCGUGCAUAGUAACUAUUUGUUGCUCUUACGAUGGUUCCUGUGUUGUUGGUUCCUUCCUCUUGUUCCCCGACUUUCUUUUAUAGUCCCCUCCCUUCGUUGGCUCGGAACGGGGACCACGCCAUGGCAGACUCUAUGGUUAAUGAGUCUCUGGGCCAAACAUUUUACACUAUCGAUGGGGGCUGGGUUAGAAGAUAGUACAUUCCCUUGAAUCUGGGCAUAUAAGCCCCAGAUGUACCUCUGUAUCUUUUUACUCUCCGGGGUAACCAUCAUGGGGCACAGUGCUGCCAGGUCACUAAACAUGUUAGUGUAGGCUACUAUGUCUGUGUUGGCCAUGGUAAGAUUCCACAGCUUGUACUCCAGCUUUUAAACUUCACCUCUUGGGCAGUAUUCCUCCAUCAUUAUCUCUUUCAGGUUAUCCCAGCCCAUGGAAUUAGCCACUGAUAGGUUCAUUGACUUAACAUGGCCAUUCCACCAUGUUUGGGCUCUGUCAGAGAAGGUGCAUGCAGCAAACUUCACUUUGCUCCCUUCUGGGCACAUACAGAUUUCAAAAACUAAUUAUGUUUUCUCGAACCACUACAUCAGAGCAAUGACUCCCCCAUUUCCAUUAAAGGAUUUGGGUUUGUAGUUCAUGAAGUCCUUGUAAGAACACUCCCAUGGGUAUCAAUGGGUAGCUCUGGGGUUAGUUAGAUGGGUACCGCUACCAGAUCCACUAGUACCACUUACACGAAUUUGAGUUAUAGCAGUUGUUACUGUGGCUGUUACCGCUGCUUGGAAAGCAGCAUGAUCGUGUUGUGGUGGUGGAGGUGGUGGUGAUUCUAUGCGCCUUACAGGUCUACCGCGAGGCAUCUUUUCCCUAUAAAUAAUAAAAGAUUAAACGGUGAUAAGUCUAUAGCAGUGGUUAUAAGUCAAAUGCUCAUUAACUAAGUUAUCCUAGUUCUGAGUGUAUCCGGUUCUGAUUUUCAUAAGGUUCUGAUUUUCAUAAGGUUCUGAUUUUCAUAAGGUUCUGAAACAAUUCAUAAUGGCAGUCUAUAUAAAAUAAACUUCAUGAAUCAGUAUUGGCUACCCUCGAAUGAAUUUCUGUGAAUUUGAAUAACUGCUACCAGUUGUUACGAAAAAUGAAAUAAUCCUAACACAUAGUGUGAGUAGUGUAUUCACUAACUCACUAAGUCAUUUUAGGUUAUUAUUUAUUUGUGUGACGCAUAAGACGUUUGGUUUCUUCGGCUGAUCCCUCCUUGGACAACUCCUGAUGAAUCUCUUCUUGUUCCUCCUUGACUCCUUUGUUGACUGCUAUGAUGGAGUGGUUACAUCUAUCUAGAUUUGUCGUGCGAGAAUGGUAGUGUCUAAAGAAUCUAUGAGAUUAAGUGAUACAUUAUGGGGUGAUCCUUACCGGGUCCUUCUAUAACUGCGCAGUGUAUACAAGUUGUAUAUAAUUUAAGAUUAAAUAGACUUUCGACUAAGUGACCCUACUCUAAAACCACAAGCAAACAAGGAACAUGAAGUAGAGCAUAGAUCACCAAUUCUAAGUCUAUAAAAUCUCAAUUAUAUAAAACCUUGGGAGUAUACACUCCAAAAUUAUAGACCUACCAGUAAGGGUCUUUUAAAUUUUCACAUAAGUUAUUUAUAGUGCGUAAAUACUCCUAUAGUAUUUUAAUGGUAUGAACUUAGUAAGUUUUAAACUUGUUGUUAUCUUAUAGUAUCAUAAAAUGCUCAUAUAGUAUUUUAACUUGAUGUUCUGUUCUAGAAAUCCUUUGUAUAUAGAGUUAGGUAAGUUUUACGUCUGUUGCAACACCACAUCACUCCCAAACACAUGUUGGUCAUAUCUCAAAUAAAUAUAAUUGAUCAAGCUAUAUUGAUCCCAGAUAUGAUAACAUAACUAUCCAGGUUUGACCGCAGUGAUAUGUGUAUUUUUAUAUAUAUUUUUAUGCACUUUAUCUUAAUAUUUUGGCCUUAUUUAUUCUAUUUUAGAACUAAAAAGUACUCAUAAUACUUUGAAUUAUGCUUUGCAGCUAUUCGUUGCCGAUGAAGCACAAAAGAAAAGACUGAAGCGGAAACCGGACUUCGAAGCUAAAAGAAAUCAAAAUUGCUGAAGGAGUGAUUACGCCCCGCGUCCAGAGUGAUUACGCCCCGCGUAAUGACCAAAGCGACUUACGCCCCGCGUAAGGUAAUGGUACGCGCCGCGUACACGCUUGCCUCGGAUAGACUUGAUCGCGUGAUUAUCUUGAGUACGCGCUGCGUAAUCCUAAGUACGCCCAGCGUACUUAGGUCGGCCACAAAGACUAUAAAUGUCGAUUUUUAGCUAACCAGGAAGGGGGAUUCGACUUCUAACCUAAUUUAGUCAACAAUUAACUUCUAUUAAGCCGUUUUGAGGGUCUAGAAGGCGGCCGGAAGGCUGUUAAGCUAACGGGAGCAGAGAUCGGAAGGAUUGGAGAGCAGAUACAUGUCGGUACUCAUAUGGAUUGCUAACGUGACCAUGUUUAGCAUUCCAUUGUGGUACUUUUCUGUAUUUAGUUUCUGAUUUAGGUGUAAAAACCUUUUACUUUGUGUUUAUGAUUGAAUGAAGAUUUGAUUAUUAGACUAAUUGCUAUAUUAAAUAGUUUAUUUGUGUUUAAUUUAUCUUGCCAAGCUUGUUAAAAGAUCCUCAUGUGUUAAUGAUGAUUAUUUUCUGUUAAUUGUUAAGUGAAUUGAGUUGCUUGAACAUCUGCUCGAUUGCUUGUCUCUUAUGAUUUUUGAUGACCAUUGAGAUUAUAAGACUAGAAAUAACGAAUGUGAAACUAGGAUUAACUUGAGAAUAAGUAAGUUAAUGUGUGAGCCUUGUUUGAUGACCAUCAACAAGAGGUUAAUUAAAUGUCUAAAUUGAUUAACUAUAUUUACAAGUCUUGCUCGAUACGAACUGAACACUAGGAAGCAUGUUAGUUUAAUCAACUGAUCACUGUUUGAAUUGACUUGUUUGCUAAAGGAUUAGUUAUAGUGAACGCGAAUCUAAUCAUUUUAGGAAUCGGUGAACAUUGAAUAAAUGAAUUUGUGUAUGCAAUUGUCUAUGUUUUAAGGUGUAAUUUAUCUAAACCAAAGUACCUGAAGAGAUGUGCUUUCCUGUUAGUUUAUCGAGAGUUGUUAAUUGUUAGUUUGAGAUUUAUUAAACCAUUUUCUUUAUUAUUUCCGUGUGAUCUAUAACCUAUAAUCAACUAUAUUAAAUUAAUCCACCGUUCCCUGUGAUCGACACCCGACUUACCUAAGCUAUACUGUAAUCUGACUAGGUAUACUGCCUAUAAGUGCAUAGAUAGUCUAAGUUUGUUAGGUUAUAAAUAUUAAAAUUAGUGGGUACUUUUGUGCACAUCAGCAGUGUCUAACCUUUAAAUACUUCUGUUUUGUUCUUCUUGUGAUACUUGUUCUAGUAUUUUAUUUAUGCAGGUAUGUAUACUUUUAUAAAAAUAUUGUUAUAUUUUAAAAAUAUACUUUUAGUCAGAGCACUUUGGCCCUAUUAUAUUUAUAGUUAUAUAUCUUUUAUAUGUUGAUAUACUUAGUUCACUAUAAACAAUGCUCUGAUAUCAAUCUGUCACACCCCCAAACCGGAACGACGGAAAUGUUCAGGGGUGGAGGACGUCAUGCUCAGUAUCACAAAAAAUGUAGAAUAGUAAAACAACCAACAACAACCAUAACAUGAAUAUUAAAGUGUUUACAUUAUAUUCGAUUCACAAAAGAUUGACUCCAAAAGUAAAUAACAAAACAAAGAUGUGAAGCUACUAUGCUCCAUCUUUUGAAUCUCUGUGUGUGUACCUGUCUACUAGUUUCCUGAGAAUACAAGUGAUUUUGAAAGUAUAUCAACAUUUAAGUUGGUGAGUUCAUAAGUAUUUUCGUUAUAAAAAGUAUACUUUUAGUUCUUUGGAAAAGUUCGUCUGUUCCUCCAGAAAAUCCUAUAUUUUCUGAUGUGAUGAGUGAUAUGUAAAACUGACUCUUACAAUUCCUUCUAUGUGUACUUAAUGAAUACAAGUAAUAUACAAUCCAAAUCAAUCAAACAAACGAUUGUGUGAAUCUGCCCUAAGCCCACAACCAAACAUGUAAUAGGAAAUGAGGCGGAGGUCACACAUCCCAUUGUUUGUUAGAUCCUCAUUGUAUAUAACCCGGACGUAUUCACCAGGUGCUUACGGAGUUAACUGUAAUAGUUCUUUAAAAUAUGAUGAAAAUAUUCCUUUAAGAAAAUCUUAUAUUUCCUUUUAGUAAAAUCGUAACCACAAUAGUUCAUUCUACAAUCACUUAGUUUAUACAAGCUAUAUAUAACCUAAUAUUGUACAGACAAUUAAAUGUGUGAAUCUGCCCUAAGCCCAUAACCAAACAAGGAACAGAAAAUAAGGCGGAAGUUACACAUUCCACUGCCUAUCGGAUAUUAUUUAUAUAUAACUUUGAUGAAUAAACUAAGGAAUUAUAGAAUUAACCACUAAAGGUUCUUUAUGUUAUACUAGUUUGUUAACAAGUGUUGAACCUUUUGUAAAAAGGUUCUUAAUUCCAUAUACUCUAAUGUAAAACGUUGUUUUUAUAAAAUUCCAUUGAAAAUUGUUUAUCUUUGAAAUAACGAUGUUUACCUUAGAAAAUCCUAUAUCUUAUAUAAACCGAGUUGUAGUCUUACUCGUUCCAAGACCGAAAAGCACAAGUACAAAUAUUGUACUUACUGUAAUGUUAUUUAGUUUUAUUGAUAAGUUAGACUGGCUGGAGACUUGGUUGUUCUGGAAACCUGAUGCGACGAUACUACCCUCCUAAGAUUACUUAACACAUACAAGUUAUAUAUAACCGAGAUUGAACAGACAGUUGAAUGGGUGUAUCUGCCCUAAGCACACAAUUAAACAAGGAACAUGAAGUAAGGCGGAAGUCACACAUUCCACUGUAUACCGGACUUCAAUUUCAUCUAAGUCUAUUAUAUUUAUUAAGUAAUCACAUAGUUAAUAUCCCUUGAGAUUUGUUUAAGAAAAGUAUAUUACAACGUAAAUAUGUCGUUGUUAUCUACUUAUGAGGCUUAUGACCAUACUACUUGUAUUCCCCCCCCCCCCUAAAACAAUUAAAAGUUUGAAAAAAAACAUGGGGGUAUGAACUCACCUUAUGUUGGAGAUUCGAUUGAAGAUAUGAUAUAGGAUGAUAAGUUUCACUAGUGAAGUCCCGAAGCACAAACGAGUCCUAUUUUGUAUAUUAUGACAUAUUUGUGUAUACAUUUAGUGAAAUUAACCAUAAAUAUAGCAAGGAAACAAAUCGAAUUGCAAGCUAAACUUACAAAAGAGGUGUUAGAAGCAAGAAUGGAAGGCUGAAUAGAGUUCACGACCUACACUUGGAGUUCACGGCCCAAGAACACUUAGUGUUCUUGAGUUCACAGCCCAACAAGCUUGAAGAAUGAUGAAGAUGCAAGUGUUUUCGGCCAAGAAAUCCCUAGAAUGAUGAUGAAAUGAUUAACACCUUGAAGAUCCAAGCAAUAUUCUAAGAAAAGUUGAAGGCUUGAAGAUGAUACCUGAGAGAAAAUUGUUGAAGUUUGCGGCCAGGAGCGAAAGAAUGAGAAAACAUCAGUCUCACUUAUAUAUAUAUAUAUAUGGUAAGGGUUCACGGUCCGAAGUUCACAGCCGAGGGUUCACGGAUUUGAAGACUGUUCACGGUCCGAAGAGGUUCAUGGCUCUGAAGUGGUUCACGAUCUGAAGGUUCAUGGCUCGGAUGUACAAUGUUGGGAGGUGGUUUGCGGUUCGGACUAAGCUCUUGGUUUUCAUGCAUUUCAUUCCAAAUUCAUGCAACACUUCUAAUUUAAAGGAUUUUGAGCCCAUCUAGAUUUUAAAUCUCCUUAAUUAAGAUAAAUCAAAAUAAGAAGUUUGACUUUUAUUGACCUGAAACAACGGGUUGUCAUAGAUGCCGCAAUCCAAAUUGCAAAAAUAUUUGAAGGUAGGUAAAUGACGAUUUACCAAUUUCAACCAUGAAAAACGAAAAAGAAUUUUUGGUUUUAAGUGAAUUGAAACUCCUAGAUCCUUUGAGAUUCAUUGAAAAAUUCAAUGUUUAAAUCUCGAUUGUUCCAUUCAAGUUUGUGACUUGGAUGCCGAGGAUCACAAACAAGGUGUGAAUAACCAUGCAAAUUAGCUUGGUACACCCAAUGUUACAACCACCUAAUCAAUGUCCAGGUUAACCAUACAAGCUCCAUUGAUCUAUGAUUAACAUCAACCUACCCUUUUCCACGCACUGUCAGUCCAGAUUAGUGUGUCGGUUAACCACACACGCUCCACUAACGACUUAACAAGGUGCAAAGUGUAAUUUCAUGGGUUAGCCCUAUAUUCACAUUUUCCUAAGUAACUAAGAUUUGGUAAUUAAUAAGUGUUUAGUUACUUUAUAUUUAUCAUUAUAGUUUUAAUGAAGGGAGAAUUAGAGUCCUAUCCUACCCGUUCAACUAACGACCCUCCACCAGUGAAGGAAGCAGUGGGUGAGAGUGGACACCCAUUAAACUGUCAUUUUAUAGGCAGUAACCUUAUACCCCCUUAUAGACCGGCUUUGUGAAUGAGGCCUGCUAACGGUAAAAUUGACUUUGUUCUUAUACAUCUAUAUAUAAAUAUUAAACCAAUAAUAUUAUAAUAGUAUAAGAGUUGAGUUUUAAACUUGUAAAAUUCUAGGGUUUGGAACUAAAUGUGUCAAAAGAAGACUCUACAUUUACAAAUUCCAAAACUUGAGGGAAAGUUUUGAACUUUUUAAAAACUUUUGGAGUCCAUAACUUAUGAGUUUAAUAUAGGUUUAAACGAAAAGACUCUUGAAAAUCCAUAACUUGAAGACAAGUUAUGAAGCUCAUAAAACCAUUUAUGGAAAAAGACACGUCAACUUCAUAACCUAUGAUUUUAAUGAUCUCUUUAAAAGAAAAACUUUUCGUUUUCCAUAACUUGAGGACAAGUUAUGGAAUUCGUCAAAAAAAACAUUUAGAUCAAAACUGUAACAUACAAAACAAUUAGUUUGUCUAUGAUCUAAACUGAACUCAUAAGAACAAGACAAUUUAUAUCAAACAAAUUUCAUGUAAUUAGACUAACCAUAUAAACUAAUACAAAACAUAAAACUUUGACAAUUAUCUUAUAAAGUGGGUAAGCAUGAUCAUUACCAUAUCAAAAACCGGUUUAUAAGUUCAAAAGCAGCUUAGGGAAAUUAUCCUAAUCCAAUUCUAGCCAAAAACAUCGAAAAACUGCAUUCUGGAGCACCAACUCGUCGAGUGCAGGAUUUGAUUUUUAAAGCAUCUCCAAGCAAGUAGCAUCAAGUAUAAUUGAAAACAAGUCUAGGCUCUAAUACCACUGAAGGGUUUUGAGCAUUCUAACACUCCUAAGGUGUACAUGCAACCCUAAAUACCUUGGAUCUAUGUUUUCUCUAUUAUACAUGCAAACUUAAACUUUCCAAGGUAUUACCCUAACUAGCAUACAAAACUUUGAUACUUGGGUAAUAAAACAAGUUAGAUAACAUACCAUUUCUUGUAGUUUGUUGGAAACCUUGAACCUUUAGCCUUUAAGAGCUUAGCACCAAUAGUAUGAAUGCCUAAAGUGGAAUCAGAAAACACCUAGAACAAAAGGAUGACUUGAGAAGAGAUUCCUUGCACACACAAAUCGGCUAGCCCUCUAGUAUUCCACUUAAGUGCUCUUAGGUGCCAACUUUGGUAGCCUUGGGGUCUCUUAUAUAGUGUGCAAACUAGGUUACACCAUGUAAACCCUAAUGACAUUCCAUAUCCAUCAUGCUCCAUGGGUUAAAACCUCCAUGGAGUAUCCAUGGGUUACCACAUGGGUUUAGCCCAACAUGAAGAACUAUGGAUCAUAAGCCCACUUUAUAAGAAUGAAUGAUUUACCAAAUGAACCCCUUAUAUUUAAUUAGUCUCUUUGACCACAAAAUUAAUUCCAAGUUAAUUCUUGAUCAAUACUAAUUAAAUAAUAUGAUUUCAUAUUAAUAUAUUAGAACUUAUAAUAUAUUAAUAAACCAUGAAUAACUUCUUCUUAAAAGUCCAUCCUAUCAAAUUGUCCUGAUGAUAUGCAACCUAAAUAGACCAUGCUACUCUCGGGUCAAGUACAUACCAAUUAUAGUUAUGGAAUUAGACAUUAAUCCAACAAAAGUCCCGGUACUAGAAUGACACCCUCCCUUGGAGUUCCACUGCAACAAUAGUUGUGGUGGCUGCGGCAGCAACAACCACGGUGAUGACAACAGAGCGCUCAUCAAAUAAAUGAAUCAUAGCAAUCUUAAUAAACCCAAAGAACUCUGAGAUCUCCACCCUAACAGCUACGAUCACCUGAGUGGCGAUCAUCUCGUGAAUGUCUUUGUCAGCCAAUGUUGGCCUCGACGGACUGCCCUCUCCCGAUCCGAAACCUCUCAUGAGCACCAUACUGAAAAUGAACCAAAUACAUCGGAAAAUACACAAUUCAUACUAUCACAAUCAUUACAAAAAGGCUAAACCCUCGAGGUUCAUGAUUUCCUUGCUACGUGUACGGGUCCUAUGCUUACAGUAGUACUUGCCCAUACUACCUUCCACACCUACACGUAUUCGUAUCAAGGGGUCUUCAUGGACCAACCUAUCUCAAGACUCAACAUCUAGGAUACGCAUACGUCAUAUGCAUUUUCUCAAGGGUGGCUAAUACCCCCUCACUUUUUCCUGCUACAAGCCAUACUUACCAAUGGAACUUCCACCAACCCUGCAGCCGCUUGUGUAUGCUAAUCAUACAUAACAUUGAAUUCCAUAGACAUUCGAAUACUUCAUUCCACCCUAAGCCCACAACCAGAAAAGGAACAUGGAAUCAGGCUAAAUCACACAUUCUUAGGCUAUAAAAUCUUGGAUAUGUACAACUAUGGUGCAUACACUAAGCAACUAUAGUAAUGAUGUCAUUUCCAUCUAGCAAACAAGAAAAUCUCCUAGGCUAUCAGGUAUCAUAAUUCAUGCCAUUCUAUCAUGCAAUUCCUAAAUAUCCUUAGGAUACAAUUAGCAUGCAAUUCCAUCAUAAUCAUCAUAAGAAAAUAACAGUGUGGGUAUCUUGGGGAAAACUUUCUUGCUUUGGAUGAUCGUACACAUCCCAUCCCUCUUUUGUUACUUUUGGCAAUAAUUUUUUUUUUGAAAAUAGUUUGAAAACUUUUGCAGAUCCUUAGUUUAAGCCUGGAUUCACACAAAUGUUACUCCAAUUCUCUCAAACCAGGGCUCUUAUACCAACUUGUAACAUCCUAAAAUUAAAACAAAAUUUUUCAAUAUUUAAAACCAUUCAAAUUCAUAAGUUUUACAAAACAAAGAUUCCCAAAAGUCAUAACCACAUAUAAGGGUAUCCCAAAAUCAGAAAUCAUAUAAAAGUCCAAGAUUAUGUGCAAGAUCAUGCCUUCGCCUUUCCCCUAUCCUCUGAAGUACCUCAAACCAUAAAUCAAACUAUAAGCCAAAGCUUAGUGAGUUCCCCCAAAGUACCACACACACAACCGAAUAGAACACAUAUGGUAUGUUGGGUCCACAUUCUCCCAACUGGAUUACCUUGACCCACAAUUUGCUGACUGGAUUGCCCCUCUAGCCCACAGUCUCCCUACUGGAUUGCCAUUGACCUUCACCAUGUCGACAUGCACAACAGAUAAACACAUAACUAGUAUUUAUAGGUAAUCAUAUAGAUCUACCAGUCUAACAUAUAAUCAUCAUAUAUAGGUAAUCAUACAGAUCUACCAAUCUAACAUAGCAUCAUCCUAUAUACCAGGAUAUAUAUAACCUAGUGGGCCGACAUUGGUGCCUUCGACCCCUGAGUAAAGUGAGGAAAACUCACCUAAAUGUCCUGAAAGAUAGUUAAAUGGAAUGUUGCUCCAAAAGCCAAUCGAACAUGUUUCCUAUACGAUAAACAGUGUUCAAACCUCAAUCUACUGAUCAAAUUACACUAUUUUCCCUAAAUUCAAACUUGGUCAAUGGUUAAUGGUCAAAAUCCUUACUCAAAAGCCACCCAGCCACUCGUCUUGUCGUGACCAUUUAUUGGUCAUGUCAUAACCAUCUCUUGGUCACAUUGUGACCCUAUAAGACAAAAUAAUCGAGAAUACCCAUUCUCACAUCGUGAGCCACAAGGCCCCACGUCAUGAGAUACGCUCUGAACAUAUUUGAUGAACAAAGCUCAUAAUCCCUCAAGAUAUGCAACCAACACUUUCAGAAUGUAUUAUCUACUCCAGAACAUCAUAAAAAUCGUGAGUUUUUGACAUGCAUGUCCCAAACACAAAGUAGGGCACAAUAGGAAGAAAUGGCCUUAGAAGCUCAUGCAAGAGUACUGAAACUCAACCAUGCUUCGUAUCUAGCACUUUAUUACCCAAGGGACACUAGACAUCCAUAAAGUUGGAAACUUUAUGGAUUCCAAGCACCAUAUCACCAAAUCCAUGAAAGAAAAUGUAUAAAAACCUAAAUCUAAGCUAAUAAACCCAUAAAGUUAUGAUCUUCAAAACUCACAAUGGUCCAGAAGGUGUGGAAAUGAAUGAUGGAGAGUAUUGAGUGCUAAGAUGAUGGCUAGAUACUUUUCUUCUUCAUCUUCUUUGCUACAAAUAACCACAAAUGAGCUCAAAAUCAACAACGGGGUGCUAGAGUUUCAAAGGGGGUAUUAGGAAGUGAUAGAGGCUGAGGGUGGGAUAACCCUAACCGUCACUUCCUUUAAAUAUAGAAAAAAACCCCAAAAAUUAGGGUAUCAGGGCUCACGUCGUGACACCUUAAUGCUCACGUCGUGAGCCUGGUUUAAACUUAAGGAGUUAAUUUGAAAUUCCACAAUGAUACUUAACUUGAAUGGGGUGUUACAAGACCAUCACCAUUUGUGACUCUUCAAACGACGCUAGACAACCCUCGUUCGAGAUCUUAAAACCCUCGUUCCAUAUGUGAAAACCAUAGUAGCGGCGACGGUGUUAGUGGUGAGUUAUGGUAAGCAACGCCGGAGAAAAAAAAAGAGACACUGGACAAAAAGAGAGAGACAAAGUGCAGAUAGAAUGGAGUUUUAGAGGUGCUUUCCUCCAAGAAUUGUGGUUGUGACGGCAAUUUCUGACAAAUAGUGGUGGCAUCCAAUAAAUUGUAGUAGGCUCCGGUAAAUAGUUGUGGUUUUUGGAUGGUGGUUUCAAGUGAGGCAACAGUGUGAUAUAUAUAUAUAUAUAUANUAUAUAUAUAUAGAGAGAGAGAGAGAGAGAGAGAAUGAGAUGGAUAAUAUAUAUGUUAAAGAGAUGGUGGGUGAGUGUGGUAGUAGGGAUGAAUUUUAUUUUUAUUUUAUGUAUUUUUUUUAAAUCAGAAAAUUAGAAUUAUAAAUUAGAAAAAUAGAAAAUCAUAUCUAUAGAGCAAAUCCAUCAUUAUAAUAAAUUUAAAAAACAUUCGNAAAAAAAAAAAAAAAAAAAAAAAAAAAAAAAAAAAAAAAAAAAAAAAAAAAAAAACUAUUUGGACUAGUGAUACAACUCUAAUAUUUUUUGGAUCACAAUUGCAUUUUUCUGUAAAUUUGUUUUCUCCUUGUCUUUUGUUUCCUUUUAUUUAUUCCAUGGUUUUUUGCUAUGGAAUUUUCUAAUAUAUACUCCACUAGGGUGUGAGACCCAUGUAUUAUAUGGGUUUACUUAAAAAAAUUAAAUAUAAAAUUUUAACAAUUUGAAAAGUUUGAAUUUAUAAGAAAAAUGAGAAAUCUUUUGAAUUAUUAAAAUUAAAGAGACUUUAAUGUAUUAGAUACAUUACAUAUAUAAACCAUUUCUAAUAAAUACCUUACAUAUAUAUUACCUUACAUAUUAAAUGUGGAAUUUUAAUUUAAUAAAAUGAAAAAUACAACAAAAUGACAAGUGGAAAAUAGAAAAUUUAAAAAUUCUAUAAAAUGCCAUGUGUCCAAAUGAAAGAGAAGAGGACAUGUGGCAAAAAAAAACUUUCAUUUAUUAUAGUAGAUUAUUCACCCGUUUCAAAAAAAAAAUUAGUUUCCAUAAGUUAUUAUUAUUAUUAUUAUUAUCGUUAUUAUAUAUAUAGGGCUAGGUUAUAUUGUGGAUGGACAACUAUUAUGUGGAUGUAGGGUUGAAUAUGGACAAAUAGUUUAAAUUAUUUUAAAAAAGUCAUUUACAAUUUUAAUUGAAAUAAUGAAAAUGGAAAAUACCACUCUAAUUAAAUGAAACGGGUUAGUAAGGAUAAGAAUGUAAAAUUACAUCACCUACAAUUUAGGCAACACCAGAUUAUUUGGCUAAUCUGAUCAUAUUCUUCCCAUAUUCUCGCACACAUUAACCUUCAAAAAUCCUUACUGUUUGACCAAGAAAUCGGAUUUGAUCUUGUAGAAUCAAACGUAAUCACAAAGCUUUUAUAAACCUAGGUUUCUAUAAAUAACAAUCAGUCGACAUUUGAAACUCUAAAAUCAUUGGGAAUUACAAUUAAUUGAGCCAUAAUUAAAGUUUAAUACUUUUGAAAAUGGAACUUUUAUCUAUUCUUUAACAAUGGAACCUUUAUCUAUUCUUUAAGAAUUUGAUUUAUUUAUUUUUUAAGGAAAUCGAUACAAACAGGCAAACAAAUAUUCAUACUCGUAAAUAACAAUACACGUUCUUCAAUUAAUUACAACAAACACGAAAAAUAUACAUAAAUUCUAAAAGAAUAAAACUAAAUUUCAUUCAUUAUUUGACUAACGUCAGUCAUUCUUAAGAAAAAGAUAUGUGCAAUUCUUGACAAUACAAAAAUGUAUUGAUAUAAAAGUUGAGAAUAAAUUCUGUCAAAUUUCUCCAUAAAGAAAAAAAUGUUAUCUUUUUGUAAGGUGGACCCUUCUAUUCUGAAAGAAUGUUGCUGUUUUUGUAUGUUGAACCUUAGUAUUCUGAAAGAAUGAUGUUGCGUUUGUAAUAUGAACCUUGAUAUUCUAUAAACAACUUUAUUCUGAUCAAGAUAAUAACAAUCAACAUAGUAUUAAGACUAACGGGAGCAACAAGAAUCAUGGCCUUUUACCCCAAUAUGAUGAGAUGCUAGAAGGAUCAUAUACAAGCAUAAUAGAUCACUACUUUCAUCAUUGUGAAAAACAAAAUAUACAAAAAAUCAAAAAAAUUCAUAACAUAGAUGUAAAUACCAAUUGACAAUUCUAACUUACAAAUUCUUAUAUAUAAAAAUUAAGAAAUUAAUUAAAUGAAUAAACAUUGAUGAAUUCUGAUACUACAACCAGAUAAUUCGAAUUGGUAUUGCUAGUAAUGAAUUUCAAUUUUGAUGUUUUCAAACUUGUACUCUAGAAUCAUCAAAAAAUGCUUCCAGGACAUACCUUGGUUUCUAAUCAUAGGGUUCAGUAAUAGAGAAACAUUAGCCCACAACGAGCUCCAACCACCAUGGUCAACCUCAGCUCCAUGAGCCACCCUAAUCAUAGCAACAGCGCCACCACAUCAUCGACUCUGUGAUUCUUCUUUUGAUGGUUUCAAAUUUGCAACACGUUCUCGUAAACUGUUAAAAAGCAUUAUCUAGAAAUCAUAUUAAAAAACAAAAUUGGAUUUAAUAAACAUACAUCAAAUAUAAAAAUGAGAAUUCCAUAAAUAAAAAAUAAUCAAUGAUUAAAAAAUCAGAUUACGUACCGUGUAUCAGCGUUUUCAAUUUUCGGUUUAGGGUUUGGUUACAGCCAUCGGUGAAUUAGCGUGUCAAUAAGGAUUUUCAAGUGUUACCGAUAGUAAUACAAAUCAUUUGUUGUAAAUUGAAACUUGAUUUGAAAUCAUAGGUAUUAGUUGUUGUCGGCGAAGUGUUGAUAGUUGUAAUCGGCAUCCAAGGGAGAUAAUGGUGGUUGUGGUCUUGGCCGGUGGUAAAGUCAAGAAUGCAAAUCGUUUAGUUGCCUAAAUAUAGGCUUUUAAUUUGUACAUACCAAAUUUAAAAGAUUUUAUUUAGAUAUGCAUUAAUUACUUAUUAUGCUAAUUACAUAUUUACCCUUAUAAUAAUUAUAAAUAAUUUAAAUUUUUCUAAAUUGUCAUUGGUUUCUACAUCCACACAAUAGAUGUCAAUCCACAUAUGAACCUANNNNNCCCUCUCAUAUAUAUAUAUAUAUAUAUAUAUAUAUAAAAGUAGGUUCAAAUAAAAAUAUUAAAUAAAAUAAGAACAUGAGAACAUUUCUCAACCAAUCGUUUUAUUUAAUUAAUUUUUAAUAUUUAUAGGUUUUUAGGUAUUUGCUACAGCCAUUAAUAACCAAUUUAAAUUCAAACCCUAAAGUCUAUCAUCCAUUUGAUGUACUUGUUUCCCUCAAGAUAAAAUAAAUCUACAUAUAAUUUUAGCCAAAAUUUAAGAAUUGAUAUCAUGCCUUUUGAAGUAUGCCUUCCUUAUUUCCAUCAAAAUAAAAUAAAUGAUAAUACAUCCAUUUUACAUUUAUGUUUGGCAUGUAUUAUCACUAAAAUAUUGUGUUUGAAUCUUCAAUAUUGAUUUUAAAAGUGUUAACCAUGCAAUAUGAGUUUCGUCUAAUGGGUUAUAAAAUCACUUUAGUUAUAAAUUCGUUUCAUUAAAAAGUUAAUAAUUUUUUUUACUAAACAAUCAUGUUAGACAGUAGACACAUAUGUGAAUCUACAUACCUUUCUUUCUAAUUCUUUCGUGAAUAUUAGUUUUAUUAGUAGCCAUAUAUUAAAAAUUAUAUAUAAUUUUUAUAUGGAUCGUAGUUUGAUUAUGUUUCUUGUAAUUUAUGCAUAAGAAAAUAUAUUCUUAAAAGGAUAUUAAUUUGUUUAUGUUUAUGAAAAUGAUAAUAUUCCAUCAUGAAUAUUGUUUGCGCCAUUUUCUAGAUAUUUUUAAUGGAAGAUAAUAUCAUUCAUAUUGACAUAUGCUUAUAAUCAUAUAUGAAUAACUUUUAUAUCGAAUAUUCUAUGAAGAAUAAUUGUAUUUGAAUAACUCUUAUAUCGAAUAUUCUAUGAGGAAUAAUUGUAUCAUUAUUAUUGUCAUAAUACAAUUUAUAAUUAUUGAAUAUGUUACUAUUUAUAUAAAUGGUCAAAAUUAUUUGGUAUUUUAUUUGUAUGUUCAUAGUUAAAGUUUGAUGUCAACUUUUUGUAAAGAAAGUGAUAUUCUAAUAUGAAUUAUGUCAAAUUUUCAAACUUGAUUCAAGAAAACAUUGAAUUUUUAUUGUAUUUGUUAGUUCAAACUGUAUUUGAUAAAGUGGUAUUGUUAAGGGUAAUUUUAUUGAAAUUUGUUUGUUUCUUUAUUCAUAUUGGAUUUGUAUAAUAAUAUUGCAAAUAAUAUGAAAUUUUUCAUAUUCUAAUAUGAAUAUGUAGCAUACGUUUUUUUAGUACAUAUUUUUUUUGAGAAUAAUAAGCAAAACAUCAGUUAAUUGGAUUUGUAUAAUAAUAUUGCAAAUAAUAUGAUAUUUUUGAUAUUCUAAUAUGAAUAUGUAGCAUACGUUUUUUUAGUACAUAUUUUUUUUUUUAGAAUAAUAAGCAAAACAUCAGUUAAGAAUCUCAAUCAAGCAUAUCAAUAUGUAGUGUUAAUAAAUUUUGAAUUCUCAAUACAUUUUUACUUUUAAAAAUAAAACAAUUAAAUAUCCCUUAAAAUGGGAAACAAAUACGAAAUUAAUUAUAUAUUUAACUAUUAUCCCAAAAAUUCCUGCAUAAACCACCACUUUCCAUGUUUUAUUUAUUACAUUUUCACAAUGAGAAAUUAAAUAUCUUCUUACCUUUUGUUCAUAUUUUUCUUCCUACCUAUUUAAAAUAAUGACACAUGUAAAAAAUUAACAUCCCAAUCAAAUUUAAAUUAAAUUAAAUGACACUUGUCACCAUCUAAAAUAAGCAGGAAGAUAAUAGGCACAAAAAAUAAGAGGAUAUUUAAUUUCUCUUUCAUAAUUUUUUCCAUACACAUGUAAUCUAUCUACCUUUCUAAUAAAUGAAACUUAAAAUGAUAUGUGUCAGGUUUUUAAAAUGUCUCUUUGACACAUGACAUUUUUCUAUGAUUUUUAUUAUUAUUUUUUUUGUAAUAAAACAAAUUCAAUUCAAAAUUUGAAAAUACAAAAUCAUAUCCUAAUAACAUUAUUAUGUUUAUUUUGCUUGACAAAUUAAUUCAUAAUUACUUACACAAUAUCUUGGUUUUUUUACAUGUAUUUAUCUAUAUAAAAAUUUUAAAAAUAUUGAUCGUGGUUUCCACGGGUUAUAGCCUAGUUAUAGAUAUUCUAAUAAUAUUUAAAAUGUUACUUAACAAAUGAAAAGAUUGGUUAAGAAUCGUUCUCACAUUAUUUAGUGUUCUCAUUUGAACUAUCUUCUCUCUCUCUCUCUCUCUCUCUCUAUAUAUAUAUAUAUAUANNNNNNNNNNNNNNNNNNNNNNNNNNNNUAUAUAUAUGUUCAAAUGUUCCUGACAACUAUUGUGUGCAUGUAUUCACCAAUGAGAAUUGAAGAAAGAAUAAAAUAAUUAAAUAAAUAAAUAAAUAAGGGUAUAAUGGCAAUUUUAGUAUAUUUAAUUUUGGUAAAUGAAUAAUUCAAUUAAUAUAUCCUAAAAUAAGGGAAUAAACGCUACAAAACCUGCAUCCCUUUAUCAAUUGUGGACUAACAUAUAAUCACGUAUCCCUUCUCAAAACCUUAUUCCCCUCCAUUGAAGGUCUGAAAUUACAGAGAUUCGUGGUCGAAGUUUGGCAUUUUUGAAACCCAAAAUACCCCAUAUAAUGUUCAUGUCUCUGAUUCGGAUGAUUUGCUUCAACCUGAAAUCAACAUGAGAAGUUUUUCUGCAUCCCUCCUUCAUUCUCGUUCCUGUUAUGGUACAACUGCAAAGAAGAAUUUGUUUAUCCAAUGACAUGCCCAAAUCGAUCCUUUGGCCGCCAUUUCAAAAUUUGUGGAUGUAGUAUCGGGAUUUAUGGAAAAGGUGAGCCUUGUUCUCUCAUUAUUAUAAUUUCUAGUUUUUUUUUUCUGUAAAUAUGAUUGUUUUUUACAUGUGUUUUAACCAGUGGCGGACGCAGACUGUUUUAGUAGGGGUGUCCCUCGUACUUCAAGCGGGUGCACGUAAUAGAAAAAACCAAAAAAAAAAAUUACACUGUGUGCCGGAAAUUGAGCAGUGGCCCGGGACCCCAAAUGUCCUACAUAGGUCCGCCACUGGUUUUAACCGAGGUUUUGAAUCAGUUCUUACACUUGUUUUUUUACAAGAAUUUUGGCUCGUUUGAUGAAAAUGUCUAACAUGUGUUUGUUGAAAUGCUUGAAAGAGAAUACAAAGAAUAUAACCAUGUGGUAUAGAUUCUGUCAGAAUUACUAGCAAUGAGUAUUUUAUUUCUAGUUUUCUUUAUAUAAAUCUAAUUGUUUUUUACAUGUGUUUCGACUAAGGUUUUCAAUCAAUUUUUACACUUGUUUUUUACAUGAAUUUUGGCUUGUUUAAUGAUAAUGCCUAACAAGUGUUUGUUGAAAUGCCUAAAAGAAAAUCUAAAUAAUCUAACCAUGUGGUAUGAAUAGAAUGAAUAGGUUUUUGCAUUUUAAUAUGGAAAAGAAAGAAAACAUGGUAAAUGAUAGUAUAAGAAUUGAUUGAAAACCUUUCAGCAAAGCAUUAUGGGGAUUAUUUCUAACCCUAAACAUGACUUUGAGGAUGAAGGAAAAAAGAAACCAGAUUAUGAGGUUAAUUGCUAACCCUAUAGUUUGGUUGGAACUUUCUUUUUUGUUUAUGUUUUUAGUUUUCUCUCUAAAAAGAAAUUUGAAGGCUUUUGCUCCAACAAGAAAUUCAAAAAAUUAAAAGUAUAAUUUUUAUGUACAAAGCAGUGGUCUUGAUUGGAUAAUUACCACAAAUUUUUGAUUAUGGGUGUAUUUGACAGCAAUUCUACCGGAAUGGAAAAUCAAGUUCUAAUUUUCUGUCAAAAUGAAAGCUCGAUUUUAUGGCAUGAAAUCUCAAAUUAAUCGUUAGUAUUUGAAGGUAUACACUCUUUUAUUGUAAAUUUAGUCACAUUCAUGUCUUUAUUAAUUACAUAUGUUGUAUGUUUCAUCAAAUAGAGUAUAAAGAUCUGAGCAUCCGAUUUUGCCCGCCAAUUGUUUACUAAAAUGCUUGAAUCAAAUAUUUUAGCCAAUUUUUUUGUAAUUUUUGAACUAUCAUAUUGUUGGAUAAGGUGUCUAAGUCCAUAACUUAUUUGGUACAUACUUGACCCGACCCGACAUGGUCUAUUUGGGUUGCACUUCACCCAAACGAUUUAUGGAUAAUUUUAUGAGAAUUGUAUACUUACGAUUUAUUAAUUAUAAGUUAUAAUAUAUUAAUAUGAAGUCAUGUUAUUUAAUUAGUUUUAGUCUUAAAUUAAUUAUGAAUUAAUUUAGAGAUUAAAAAGAAGACUGAUUAAAUUAUGGGCUAUUAUAUUUUAUAUAGUGUGGGCUAAUACUCAUUUGUUAAUGGGCUAAGCUAAUAUGGAAGUCCAUGGAUGAUCCAUGGAGCUUUUAAUCCAUGGAUCCUUGGAAAGGAAAAGACAUGGGUUAUUAGGGUUUCACCCUAACCAUGCACACUAUAUAAAGAAGCAUAUGAUGCAAGAAAUGACACUUGGAGUGUGAGACUUAGUGGUGGCCGAUUCCACAAGAAAGUAUACUACUCUCUCAAAGUUUUCCAAGUGUUUGUGGUGAUUUGUGAUUCCAUUUGAGGCAUUCACACUAUUGGUGCUUGGCUCUCAAACUCCAAACAAUCAACCAUCAUCAAAAGGUAUGUAUUUCUACUAGUAGUUUUAUGAUUCAUAAUCCUUAUGCUAUGCUAGUUAGGAAGAAACCUUGGAAGUUAUUAUUUGCAUGUAUUUUAGAAGAGAACAUAGAUCCAAGGUUUAUUAGGGUUGCAUGCACACUUAGGAAGUGUUAGAUUGCUCAAAACCCAACAGUGGUAUCAGAGCCUAGGCUUGUUUGUUUGAUACUUGAUGCAAAAUAGUGAAAAAAGUUGAAAUUGUUGCUGUCUGGCUGAUGGACUCGCCGAGUCCAUGGGGGGACUCGCCGAGUUCAAGGCAAAAUUCAUCCUACUCGGCGAGUAGGUUCGUGCACUCGGCGAGUAGAAUGAUCAGAAUGCAGAAUUUCGACUUUUGCUGCUGGAAAUGGACUAGAAACAUUACCCUAAACUGUUUUGGUGUUUUAAAACUUGUUUUAGUUGGUGUAAUGGUUGUUCUAAUCCAUUUACAAUAGCAUAUAUCAAAAUUCCAUGAUUUUUAUGUGUUCAUAUAAUUCUUGAAAUUUUGAUGAUCAUGUUCAUGUUCUUAUGAAUUUAGAAGAUGAUAGGAAUUAUUUGCUGAAUUGUUUAGAAUUAAUUCUUGAUCAUUUAUGUGUUUUAAUGGAGUCCAUAAUUUGUCCUCAAGUUAUGGAUAUCCAAAGGUCACUUUUCUUUAACACACACAUUUAAACACAUAAGUUACAUGAAAAUGAAGAGUCUUCAUUUUUAUGAACCUUUAAUUCAUAAGUUAUGAAAUGAAAAGUUUUGGAUAGUUACAAAACUUGCCCUCAAGUUUUGGAAUUUGAAAAGUUUCACACACUUUAAUAAACUUUAAUUCCAACACUUAGAGUUUUAAAAGUUAAAAUUCAACACUUAUACUAUUUAUAACAUUAAUGGUUAAUUAUUAUAUAUAUGUAUAAGAACAAGUCGUUUUACCGUUAGUAGGCCUCAUUCACGAAGCCGGUCUAUAAGGUGGGUAUAAGGUUGUUGCCUAUAAAAUGGCGACUUAAUGGGUGUCCACUCUCACCCACCGCUUGCUUGAUCGGUGGAGGGUCGUUAGCCGAACGGGUAGGACAAUGACUUUAAAUUCUCAUUAAAAGUAUAAUGAUUAUUAUAAAGUAACUAAAAAUUUUUUAUUUAAUUCCCAAUCUUAGUUACUUUAGGAAAAAUGUGAAUUUGGUGCUAGCCCAUGGAAUUCACACUUUGUACCUUACCAAGUCGUUGGUGGAGCGUGUGUGGUUAACCGGCACACUAACUUGGACUAGUAAGGAUCACGAAGGGUGACUUAAUGUUUGUCAUAGAUCAAUGGAGCGUGUGUGGUUAACCGGCACAUUGAUUAGGUGAUAAUAUUAAGGGUACCAAGUGAAUUGGUAUGGUUAUUCACACCUUGUUUUGUGAUCCUCGGCAUCCCAGUCACAAAAUUUGAGAGGGCACACUCGAGAUUGAAACAUGCCAUUGAAAAGUUCAAUGAAUCUCAAAAGAUCUAGGAAUUUCAAAUCCAAUUAAAACCUAAUAAAUUAUUUCGUUUUUCAUGGUGGAAAUUGGUGAAUCGUCAUUCGCCUACCUUCAAAUAUUUUAUAGCUUGGAUUACGGCAUCCCUCUUCCAAAUUAUAAAAUAUUGUGUUGGGUCCUAGCCUUAAUAUUUCAUAUUGGGUGUUAUAUUAAGGACUUUGAAUCAACUAACUUGAUUUUCUCCCAUUAUAGAUGUCUGGUUCAGACAACUAUGAUCUUCCCAAAUCUCUUGAAGAUGGUGUCCCUCAACAUCAUGCUUCACUUCCUCCACCUCCUCCAAUUAUUCUCCCUCACCCACAAGUUCUUGAAAAGUUUAAAGUCACUCAAUCCCUAUUGGCAAGCAUAGUCUAUGUGUGCUCACAUCUUGGAGAUAAAGUCACAUAUUGACAAGCCGGGAGAGUUGGGUGUCAAAGUCUCGUGAAAGUUGGAUGUUCAAUCACUUUCUUAGUAACAUAGUGAGUCUCUUUGGGACUACUAUGAGACAGACUAUGACAUGACCCUUAAUGAUGUUAUCUAUUUGCUUGGUGUUGUGGAAUCAGCAAUGAUUUGGAACACCAGUAAAGCAAAUUUGAUUAAAAGAACAACUUCCCAAGUCUUAAAUGGACAUUGACAAUGGUAGCAUUGGAUAUCUAGAAAAGGAUUUCUCUUCCCAAUGGAAAGGGAUCGGCCAUAGUCAACUCGGUUGACCAAAUGGUAAAGAGAAAGGCUAAGUCUGAGAUAGUCUCAUGUGCCAUUACCAAAGGGUCCAUGUGUUUUGUUGCCAAAGGAAGGGGCAUUGGUUGCGAAGCUGCCCUAUUCACCUGAAAGGUCAUAAGGUUGAUCAAGUCAAGAGGUUUGACUCUACUUCGGGUAAAGUCCACUGUCUAACUCUAUUAAGUUCCUAUUUGGAGAUUCUUAUUACAUAAUGUGAAUGGGUCACAUGCUGAUGUUUUUAAGAAUCAAAGAAAAGAUAGGAAGCUUAAAGUAAGUAUAUGUUGAUUCUGAUUGCGAAGGUGGGUUUCGAUCGCAUGGUUCGGUAAUCAGAAUUUUGAGCUGUUGCUUAAGAGUUAUAAUAUAUUGCUUAUGAAUAGAUAACAACAAGGUUUUCAUGUGGAUUGUAAGGAUAAGUUUUUCCGCAAAGUUUUAAAAAAAAAAAAAAAAAGGGUUUUAAUUUUAUUUAUUUUAAAAAUAUCCUUACAAUGGCAUCUGUGGAAAAUUGUUGCUUAUAUGUUUCCAGUAAUAGCAAUAUUGGAAAGUGGAUUUGAUUCUUUCAUUUGUGGUAGUGUCUGAAUUUACCAAAUGAAGAAAGUUUUUCAUCACCCAAGUUUCAAUUGGACAGAAACUUGGAAUCAUACAAGUUGUAUUGUAUGAUGAAUGAGAAUUUUCAUCUUUGAAAAUUAAGACUAAUUCUUUGAUCACAUGUAUAUGUGAGUCAAUUGAAGGACUAAGGAAUUAGGUACACUGGGUGUGCGCUGGUCAAGGUCCACCACAAAGAUUGAUUUGUCAUGAUUUACUAAAGAUUAGUAAAUAUGAUUAUACUUAUGAGGUUAAGUAUAAUUCUGUAACAUUGGAAAGGUUACAAUGUAUGACAAAACAAAUGAGAAGAAUCAAAUUAGGCAGAAAGAUAAAAGUUUCUCAAAUCUGAAAGGAUGGGAGAGUACUUUAGUAUCGUAUUUCAUGAUCAUCUUAAUGAUUAUGAAACCAUAUCACAAAUUCAUACUCUAAGGACGUCUUAGUGCAUUGUUAUGGCUAAGAAGAGAGGUCAUGAAUUGUUGGAUUGGUUAAAAUCAAGAAGAUGAGUCAUACUUCGUUCCAAAACAAUUCUUAGAGUCAUACUCCAAGAUUGUAACUUUGAGUGACAUAAAGGAAGAUUUAUUAACACUAGUCAAAUGUAAGAGUAAAAUGUUUUCUACUCUUGUACAUUUGAGAUUGGUAAGUUGUGAUGUCUUGGAUGAGACAAAGACCAACUAAGACCAAUUGUGUGAAGUGUUAGUCUUGAUAAGAAUCCGCACUAUCCCUUGAAUAUUUGUUUUGUCAAGGAAUGGUUCUUGACUGGGGAAACUUAUAUGUCAAGGGGACAGUGGGAGCCUUAAAGAUCCUGAAAGAGUUUCAAGAUUUAAUCAAGAGUAAAACCUGUAAUUUAUCACUAGCACACGACUUAAGGUUUGCAACCUAUCGUGUUGACAUAAUUCUUAUUUCUGUACCUACUUCAAAUAAGUUGAAUUUGCAUGUGAGUUAUCAGAGUUCAACUUGGAAGCAUUGGUGGGCCUUGUGCUACCAAGGUGACAAGAAACUAAGAUUGAACAAGUUUAAUCCAUGUAAGGCUGAAUUUGUCACUAACCUUAUCUUGUGAUUAUGGUUUUGACAAAUUCACAUGGAUAGGAACUCAUACACUAUAAAAUCUAAGUGUCAUAAGGUUUCUCUCCGAUUCAUGAAAAUGAUGGUGAGGAAACGCUUUCACUAAGUAGAUUUUACGUAGAUAUCAAUUGUGUUAUUUGCAUUUUCAAAAGUCGUUAGUGGAGCGCGUGUGGUUAACCGGCACACUAACAUGGACUUGUGAGAAAUGGCAAAUGCCUAAGCAAUUGAGACUAUGAUUACGGCAUCCCUUUUCAUAGUUCUGAAAAUUGUUUAGACACACAUGUGAGCUAUCUAAGAAAGGGUGUAUGAAUCUAAAUUUCAGAAGUCCAGCAGAUUUCUGGAAAUAUGUCAGAGCUAGUGGGAGCAUAAGUGUUAUGCUGAUAAUCAUCAUGUUAGUGGGAGCAUGAUUAUUACGUUUAGUGUUGCAAGUUAGCAAUGUUAAUUAUAGAAAACAAAGUUUCAAUUCGUGAAGUUGCAGGGGUUGAAAAGUUGUUUUGCUAUAAUUAAGGGAGAGGAAAUUAUACUUCAUUUCAAUUCUAAAGCUUAGAUUGAGAUUUUAAUCAUCUUUAGUCAAGAAUAUAUAUAUGAAUUUUAUGUUGGAAUGGUUCAACUUGAAGAAAUUCUAUAUAUAUUGCGUUUUCAAAAUUCGAUUAUGAUUACGGCAUCCCUCUUCAUAGUUAAAUUUUGAAAACAUGGCAAAUAAAAAAUAUUGUAGCAAAAGACUGGUCUAGUAUCAUGUCUUUAUGUCAAACAUCAUGAAUCGUGUCCCAUAUGCUUCGGAUAUAGGAUCGAUUGCAUGUGCUAUAAUAUUCAUCUUUUCUAAAUUUUCCAAAUGCUUAAGGCAUUGAGAAGGGAAAAGUCUAGAACUGGAUAUGACUAAAGUGAUUAAGCAAUUGUCGAGGACAAUCUGAGGUUCGCCAAAGAUUGGUUGCUCAGGGAAAGUUGGAAGUAUGAUGUAAGUUGUCGGAAAGGACCAUAUUGACAUAUUCUGAAAAGAAGUAACUCUUGUUCGGAAGUGAUAGUCAAAAUGGGACUAUGGAAAUGUCUCCAUAGGUGGAAGUUAUUCAAUCUAUGUAAGAUUAGAAAACCUUAAUGCAAGAAGGAUGUUCAAAGCAAUGUACUUUGAAUAUGAGACUUCCGUUCCAUAGAAGUUGACCUUCUUUGGAAUACUCUGUAAUGACUGGUGACAAGGUUUUGGUGACUUUGUGCAUAAUCAUUACAAGAGGAACAUUGCAUAAAAGUUUAAAAUCUAACAGUUUUUUUGGUAAAUGAUAGGAAUCGGGGAUUCUCACAUUUACAAUAAGGAUUUGGGAUUGUGAAAUGAGUAUCAUUGGAAUCAUGUUCAAUUGAUCUACAUCACAAUGUAAGGAUCAUAGACAAACAUAGUGUGCAUACUUGGAGUAUGGCAUAACU
This 65807-nucleotide long non-coding RNA is filed under the name Lactuca sativa (garden lettuce). RNAcentral describes it as "long non-coding RNA (LSAT_LNC003850)". Lineage: Eukaryota; Viridiplantae; Streptophyta; Magnoliopsida; Asterales; Asteraceae. The record is from RNAcentral.